AAAAAAAAAAAAAAAAAGGUUAAUAGUAGCCACUUUGUACUUAGAAUUGUGUUAAGCAAAAUUGUAAUAUCCGAGAAUUUGUAUCUAUUUUCGCAAAUUUGUCGUGAAAAUAAACUGAUUUAGUGCAAAUUUAGCUCACCGCUCAAGUGACAACAAAUGCCGAUAUUGCUGUCAGUACUCGGUGAAUCUUUUAAGACAGACUGAAAUGUUUGAUUCGAAAAAAAUGAAGAUGGAGCAGAAUGUGUUGGCUUUAAUGAGCCAGCAUCCUACCUUGUGCAGGAGGUCAGGUUGGGCCAAGUCAUAUUAGAAAUGGCGUGAGGCUGGAUUGGGUCGAGUCAUGUUUGAAGUGGCGUGAGGUUGAUUUGGCCGAGUCACAAUCGAGACCCGUGGACUCCGUCUCUAUACACUUUAAGUUAAUUGGUUGCGUAUUUUUAACAGUUCGAGUUUUUAGAAUUAAUGAUUAGUACCAACGAUCCGACAGAAUGCUGGUGGAAAAAUUUAAGGUCAUGAAAGGGUUUUGCGUUGCGCGUGCCUAGGAGAAACAUAAUCUGAAUUUGGUGGUCACUCGACAACAAAUUUUGGUACACAUUACGGCGCGCAAUUAAUCAGUUGAAAUCAGUAUAUAUGCUAAAGGAUUUCUGUUUCUUUUUCCUUUUUUUCUUUUUUAUCGUUCUAGGCGAGCGAAAGGUGCAAGUUCUUUCUAUGGUGCGACAUGGCCGGUCCCAAUCAGCAGAAUGCUCACAACAGUAGCCCUGCGAAGCCCUACCAGCGGCGUGGUAUCGACAGCCCAGUGAAGCCCGUCGCGAAAAGCCCAACCAAGCACGUCCAGCUAAACGGUCCCGCGAAACCGACGACUCCUAUUUGCUCCUGCGGCGCCGGGCGAUGCAGCAUUCUGAUGAUGCAAAACGGCGUCAACUCGGGCCGCAAGUAUUAUGCCUGUGCUAUCAAGAAGGUAAUGCUGUCCAUCAGUUCGGUUUAAAUAUAUAACAAUUGAUUCGUAGUAUUUUGUUUUGCAUUAAUUCAUGUUGAAUGUAGAUAUCAAAAAAACCAUUCUCUCGUAGUUUAAGCUGUUUUUGGAGAAUAACAGUUAUUUCAUAUAAUUUAAUAUGGUAUCAGCGUUAUUAUUAUUAUUAUUCUCCUCUUUAAUUAAUUGAAGUCCACGUUUUAGGCCUAUUAAAACGUCUCGGGCCCAGACGUGAAACUCUGUUCUCUGGUUGUUUCAUAUUAUUUCACAGUUUGAUCCUCGUAAGUUCUUGUAUCAUAAAGCAUCGAGAUCGACAAUUAUCUCGAAGCUCAAAAUUGAUCCUCAUCGGAUAACAGGUAGUUUGAAAUUUCAGGAUUUGUUCGAAAUAACUACUAACUUAAUCCAGAAUAGUGGGUUUUGAUUCUUCAUUUUCUACUUUGUGUGCUUCUUUGUUUUUAAUUUCUUUUUCUCUCAGUCGCAAAAUAUAUGUUGUGUAAAAAUUUAAUGUUGUGCAUUGUCGAUUCGUGUAUAAAAGAUUGACGUCGAUGGUAGCAUCAUAAAUGACUCGUAUUUGUUUCCUGCUUUAUAUCCCCUCAAAAUUCCUUCUUUGAACUCGAUCCGCAGUUUUCGGUGUUCUCAGUUGACGUGAUUCAGAUGCAGCAAUUGUGAUUGCGCAUCUUUUAUCCGUUCUUCGACAUCGAUUUUUCGCGUCGAAUAUUUCAUCUUUUCUUCCUGUUACAAAGCCCAAAUUGGGUUAUUGACUUUUCUCUUUCCAGGGCCAGGGAGCCUGCAAUCACUUCCAGUGGCUUGAUGAAAUCGCGGGAAAACCGCCCGAAACAGGAAAUGCCGAUUUAAACGAACUCAAGCUCAAGCUCGCGAGUUCUGAUCCUGUUUUGCAGGAUAACAAGAACAUCGGUGAAAACAAGGCCCCAAAAAUGAACUGCAACGGCGAAGCACACGAAAUCGACGAUGCCGCAUUAAUGCAGUUACCGCUGGACGAGCCGCCCGUCCUGCGAUCGCCGCCGGUCUCACCGAAGAGGCAACCCCAAGCGAGCGACGAAAUCCGAACUUCCCCGAUGAAAAGGCUCAGUUUACACGACGGCACACCGCCGGUCUCACCGAAGAGGCAACACCAAGCGAGCGACGAAAUCCGAACUUCCCCGAUGAAAAGGCUCAGCUUACACGACGGCGUGCCGAGCGUGCCGGGGAUCGGUAAAUGCUACCGAUGCGGCCGCGAAGGACACUGGAUGGCCGAGUGCGCCUCGCCUGCAGUCAGUCCCUGCUUCCAGUGCGGCAAGCCCGGGCACUGGAAGAAAGACUGCCCCGAGUUUCGCUGACUCUGAUCUUCAGCUAGUUUUGCCCUAAGUUUAUUGUCAAAAAAACAUAUUGUUCAUGCUAUAAGUGGCUAAUGUUAUGUGUGUUUCUGUGAUUUAACUCUUCCUUACUGGAAUAGUGGGAGAACUUCUAUUGUUAUAUAUAUAUAUAUAUAUAUAUAUAUAUAUAUGCUCUCUUGUGUAAUAGUAUUUUCUUUUGGUUAUUCCUGUUUACAAUUACACCAUUUUAGUGAAAUAUGUAUAAAAGAAAAAAAAAAGUAAAAAUGUAUAAAAUUUAGCUUGAAUUAUAAAUUAUUUUUAUUCGAGUACCUCCUAAUCUUUCAAAAUUUUGAUUUUAGUGCCUGAUCUUUUAUUUUGUUUGAUUUAAAUAAUUUAAUAAUUAUUUACUUUAAUAAAUUUACAGUUAUAUAAACUGUAUAGAGUAUAGUGUUGGGAACCGGAUGGAUCGUCCGUCAUGUGCUACCAACAAAGAUGCACGAAAAAUAGAGAAAAUCGAUCGAACGGUAAAAGAAAUAAAUGCAGAAAGAAGAAACCAAAAUUUACGUGGUUCGGCAAUUGCCUACGUCCAUGGGGAGAGCGAGAGAAAUGUAUUCCACUAUAUGAAGAAACAGAAGUAUAAACUUACACCUUAUGUCUUCUCCGGAUAAAAAACCAAUAACCUUAUGGUGAAUCACACCUUUCUUGUUCCAACGAAAACUCCAAGAAAAUACCGAAAAAGCUUUUCGUAAAAUCGAGAAGACCAAAUUAGAGAAGUAUAGAAACUCUAACCAAAUUCCUUUAUGCCGUUGCUUCGAAGAAUCCGAACCGCUCAGACAAUUGGUUGAGAACCGUCGCUCUGCCGCCGACUUAAAUCCGUCGCAUGCAAGACCGCGACACCUUCUACCGUACGGACGAGGCACCUUAAUUAAUUAGCUAUUCACCGGAUGCUAAUUAAUUUUCCUCUAUACCCCCUCAAGAACCGUACAUGCCAACCGGCCACUUAAUUAUGUUGCUAAUUAAUUUCAGCCUUACUCGACACCAAGCCAUGCAUGUAUAUAUAUAUAAGAGAGGGAUUUGGCUCAAACCUACUCUAAUUCAAUUGAAUAUAGAGUCAUAUAUGGAAAACUAAUCCUAGUCUAUUUAGGAUUCCAAUUUAAAUUAGGAUCCACCAAAAUAAAUUCUCAUAAGAUCCUUUUUAUUUUUCCAUAAAUCCGGUGUAUGAACCAAACCAAAAAAGAAGGCAUAUCUUUCACAUAUAGUAACUAAAUCUCUUAAAAGAUAAACGGUGUAUUCAAAUUUUAACGGUAAAAAACCACUAAUUGGCUUAAAUCAAAUUUCGUAAUUUAGGCUUAAAAAUAUGAGAAUUGUUUUGUGCAUGAGUGCACGUACACACCGGGUUCACGGAAAGAUUUACGCAGACGUAGACCCUUCCCGAAGCCGCGAACACCAUCCUCACACUUGUAGCAAACCAACGGUUCAGAUCAGAUGAUCUUUAAAAUCCUACGGCCACGAUUCGCUAAUCACCACUAUAUAAACCCGUCACCAUUUCGUUUCGCGAGUUUAAACGAACACUCUCCAAUAAACGACCGACUCUGGGGUUUUUUCGAUCAUUCGCUAGGGUUUUAGCCUUUUUUCUCGAUCAAAAUGGUGGGUUUCGCUCCCUUUUUUGCUCGAUUUCGAUCUCGAUCUCUUAUUGUUUUUCUUUUUGUGGGUUUAAUUCUGAUUUGAUUUGAUUUUUGGUGGUGGUGGUGAUAAUGUUGAUUAGGUUCUUCAAAAUGACAUCGAUCUCCUCAAUCCCCCUCCUGAGUUGGAGAAGAAGAAGCACAAGCUCAAGAGGCUCGUCCCAUCCCCCAACUCCUUCUUCAUGGUGAUUCCCAAUUCCUUCUCCGAUUUUAUUAUAACAUUUUAUUUGGAUUCUAACGUAUAAUUUUUCUUCUUUUUUUUUUUUCUCUCUCCUUUUUCAAACUAUUUGUAGGAUGUGAAGUGCCAGGGUUGCUUCGCCAUGUAAGUUUUCGCAGCUUCAAAAUUUUUAAACUCUGUGUUGUUUUCAAUUCGAUGAUCGAAAUAUGUACAUUUGAUGUGUGGUUGGUAAACUUGUUGCGAAGUCUCAUUUGGUUAAUUGAAUCAAAAUUUGUCGCUGAAUUUUAGAACUGCUGUUCGAUGAAGUGCGGUGUGGGCAGCGCUUUUAGGAAAAGCAAUAUUAAGAUUUUCUCAGCAGAUUCAGCAGAAGUAAAAGCAAAUUUUUCUUUUUUUUUUUUUUUUUUUUUUUGCUAAAUCAUAAAAGCAAAAGCAGGACCAAACAGUUGGUUAAUUUCUAGGGUAAAAUGUGUAGCGACCACUCGUGAACUUUAACUCACUUGCCAAACAGGCGUAUGAACUUUCAAUUUUGAUAAAGAGAUCUCUUAAACUUUUAUUAUAUAGUUCAAUAAAGUAAAAUUAUUAAUUACAUGAUCAUUUUGAUCUUAUAUAUUGUAUGUAGUUUUAUAAGGCUUCCAAACGCAAUAUAUAUAUAUAUAUAUAUAUAUAUUUUUUGGUAUUCUAACAUAUAAUAAAAGCGAAAAAAAUUGAAGUUUAGUUUAAUUUAUUUUUCGAUCGUCAUGCUUAAUUACCAAAAGUGAAAGCGAAUAUAUAUAUAUAUAUAUAUAUAGGCCGUGGCUACUAUACUAUUAUGAGUAUUGGAGCCCUCGUACUCAUAAGUUGUUUUCGAUGAUGGAGCUUCCGAAUCGACGAUCCACUCCGUUAAAUAUGAUCUAAAGUAUUUGAAACUUCUAGAAAAUAAAUUUCGUAAAUUUUCGAAAUCAUAAUAAAGCUCGUCAAGCGGGCAUAAAAUGAACGGUCAAAAUCGAACGACGUACUAAAAAAGGAUGAUCGGAUCCUUCAAUUCAAGAUCAGAGUUAUUGAUCUUUAUCUAGGUAGUGAAUAGAAUUUUUCUAUCAAGAAAUUCAACCAAUUCCGAUUCUUUACAAGCCGUUAAAGCUAGCAAGUAUUCGCAUACCGGGCCGAUGUACAAUGUAUCAACUUUGUGAUAUUUUGAUCGAGGUAAUGAUGUUGAAAACAUUAUAAAUUCUGAUUUAUUUGCGUUUUAAAUGCGUGUACCCAAAUAUGAACGUUUAAUCGUAUUGGAUCGUCGAUCUCGGCAAGCAUCUUAUCAUCGAAAGAUUUAUAGGUACAAGAGCGAGUGUAGCUCAUAAGUAGUCAUAGUAGCCAGACCCUAUAAGAUAUAUGAUAUAUAUAAUAUGAAAUUCGAGUUAGAAUACUAUCGGUAUUAACUGGGUGGUUUCUUUACGUGGCCACUAGGGGUGGAAACGAGCCAGUCAAGAGCGAGCUUCCUCGGCUCAAAUUCGGCUUGAAAUAAUUUGCGAGCACUAAUUUAAGCUCAAGCUUGGAUUAAAUUAAAUUCAGCCGAGCUUCGAGCGGCCUAAUUGUGAGUCGGAGCAGAGCUUCGAGCCCUAAACGAGCCGCGUGAAAUUCUCAACAUAUACAAUCAAUAGUUUUUAAUUGUGAUACGAACCAUUAUCUAUAAUUUGUUACAAAAAUAUGCUCAUAAUAGUUCAAAGGUACAGAAAUAAUUAUUGAAAUAUGUAUUGAUAAUAUGAAAAAAAAAAUUUAUGAGUUGAAUAUCUAAUCUUUUUCCGCCUCACAUGUCUUUUCGUUCGGCGGACUUCAAUCUGCCAUAUUAUCUUCAUUUUUAUUAUUGCAAUCAAAAAUAAAUAAAUUAUAUUAGAUAAAAUAUUGGAUUAAACUAUCCAAUGCAUAUAUAACUACAAAUUAAAAUUUUAUAGUGAAUAAUAAUUUUUUUACUGUUAAAAAUAUGCUAUAAUAUUUUUCCUCAAGCAUACCAAUUAAUAGCCAAGGGACCUUGUAAGUGCAACGGCGGGUAUGAUUGCUUUGGAGGCUUCCGCGCUUGCCACUUAGGACGAGAAUAGAAAAGAGCAAAUAGAGAAACAGUAGUACAAAUUUAGAGCUCUGUGAAAGGAAAGAAAGAAGAAGAAAGAAAAAAUUCUAUAAAUCUAGUUAAAAUUUUGCUUCUUUUAUUUGUCAUUGGGUUUGUGUUUUAUGGCCAAACAUCUGCGCGCCGCCAAUUAACUAAACUCAGAUGUAUUCACUCAAGCCAUACUAUAGUUAUAUUAAAAUAUAAUAUAUUUCUAUAUAUUUUUAAUAUAUAGUAUUAUAGUAUAUAUAAUUAUAUACUAUAUAGUAUACGAACUUAGGCUGGAUAUACUAUUAAUUGUAGAAACUGCUCUUUUGCUGUCAAAGUUUUUAACGCUUGGAUGAAAAUUGUAAGCUGUCGGAUGAUAUUAGUGCGGAUUGGAGUUUGAAUUGGUCCGCCCUAGGGUUGGAGUGUUCCCCACUGGGAUAUAGUAUUAAUUCCAAUGUAUAUAAAAUAAUGAAAGGAGUUGUUCAAAGGCUAAAAAACUGGUAGCAACAAUGGGAUUGUUGCUACUGAUAGUAGCCAGUCUCAACUCUCUCUCUCUCGUCCAGACUCUCGAAUCUCGUCUCACUCUCUCUCUCUCUCUCUCUAUUAUAUAUAUAUAUAUAGUCUAUAGUAUAUAAUAUAUAGUAUAAUAAGAGCUCUGUGCUCAUAAUAGCACAGCAGGCCCUACAAUAAUAAUAUAUAUAUAUGAGUAUGGCGGCGCUAGAAUUACUUUACAAGUAUCCCGAAAGGAUACUUGUGUGUUAUUUAACGGCAUGAUCUACUUUUUGAUUACUAAUAAGCCUUUAGAUCAAACACUAUUCCAACACUACGUCACCGACUACCACGCAUCCAUUUCAACCUAACUCUCCAUCCAAGGCUACCAAACACAACAAGUAUCACUGAGUGAUACUUUACAGAUUAUCUGCUCUACUCUAUCUCGGUCUCAUCGUGUGGGCCGGAUAUUGGGACCCAGUUUAUUUGUAGGAGUUAUUCGUUCAUCCGCCGUCUCUCGUCUCUCUCUAUAUAAGGUAUAUGAUAUAUUAUAUAUCUAUUAUAGUUAGUGUAAACACUAACUGAUCGAAAAUAUAGAGAAUUUGAUGUUUUCGGAAUUUUGUACCACGUUUGAUAAUAAAUGUUAUGGUGUGGGAUAAUUGCGGUCCUUUCCUAGGAUUAAAUAAUAUCUUAGGAUUGAGUGGUCCUACCAGAUAAUAAUAGUAUUCAAUCCAAGAUAAAAAAUGAUUAAGGGCGAUCUAAAUCAAAAAAUCACAAAGCACAAAUCCGCUUACCUUUUGAUAGGCAUAGUAGCUUAAUUAUAUAUAUAUCAGGUAGUAUAUAUUGGAUAGUAUAUAUAUCAUAUAAUAUAUAUAAUAUAUAUAUAGUAUAAUAUUCGAGCUUUUCGAGCCUAAUUCGAACAAGCCGAGUAAUACUCAAGCUCGGCUUGAAAUGAAUUUCGAGACUUUUUUUUUGUUCAAGCUCGGCUCAUUAAAUUUCGAGUCGAGCUCGAGCGAGCCAAAUAUCGAGUCGAACGCGAGUCGAACGCGAGCGGGCUCGCUUAUUUGCCAGCCCUAGUUGCCACAUGUUUAUUUUCGAUGAUGGAGCCUCCAAAUCGAUGAUCGACACUGUUGAAUAUGAUCUAUACCACUUGAAGUAUCUAGAAAUCAAACUUCAUGCUUUUCUAAUAUUGUUCUCUUGUCCAUCAAAUGGGCGUAAAAAUGAACGGCUGAAAAUGAAUAUUCUCUAAAAAGUGAUAAUAGGAAUUUUGUAAUCAAGAUUGAGAGUAUAGACCUUAUUCUAAAUAGUUUACAGAAUUUUCUAACCAAAAUUCAAUUGAUUUGGAUAGCUUUACACCGUUAAAUGAGAAAACGCCUCAUAUCUAUCAUUAAAAUUACAAAUUUGAAACCCUUUGAUCAAUAGGUCAAUGAUGUCGAAAAGAUUUGAAAUUUGGUUUCUAGAUACUUCGGGUGGUAUAGUUCAUGUUCAACGAUGCCGAUCGUCAAUUUGAAGGCUCCAUCAUCGAAAACAAACAAAUGGGUGGCAACGAAGCCGGUUUGCUACCGAUAGCAUUACAGCUCAACUAUAUAUAUAUAUAUGAAUUAGGCUGGAAUACUAUUAAUAGUAAAAUACUCUUUUUGCUAUCAAGUUUUUAACCCUUGGAUGAAAAGUUGUAGGGUCAGAAUGAUAUUAGUCGGUUAGAGUUGAGUGGUCCCCCUAGGGUUGAGUGGUCCCCACUGGGUUAUAGUAUUUAAUCCAAUGGUUAGAAAUAAUGAAAAGAGUUGAUCCAAAGGCUAAAAAACCGGUAGCAAUAAUGGGAUUUUGCUACUAAUAGUAGCCCAGUCCAACUCAUAUAUAUAUAUAUAGAGAGAGAGAGAGAGAGACUAUAUAUAUAUAUAUAUAUAUAUAUAUAGAGAGAGAGAGAGAGAGAGAGUUAGGCUAAUAUACUAUCGGUAUCCGUGCUACUAAGUUUUCAAUGAUGCAGCUUUCAAAUCGACGAUCGGCUCCGUUAGACAUGAUCUACACUAUUGAAAGUAUUUGGAAACUAAAUUUCAUAAUUUUUCGGCAUCAUUUACCUAUCAAACGAGUAGUCUACAAAUGAAUGGCUGAAAAUAAAAAUCUCAUAAAAAAUGAUGAUAAAAAACUUGAAUUUAAAAUCAAAGCUAUUGAUCUUACUCUAAAUAGUGAAAAAAAAUUUCUAUAAAAAUUUCAUUAAAUUUGGAUUGUUUUACACUGUUAAAUUCACAAACGCAUCACAUCUACCAUUAAAAUUGUCAAUUUUGGAACCUUUUGAUCACUAGCCAAAUGAUGUCGAAAAAUUAUAAAAUUUAGUUUCCAAAUACUUUUAAUAGUGUAGAUCAAGUCUAACAGAGCCGAUCGUCGAUUUGGAAGCCGCAUAAUUGAAAACAACUUGGUAGCACGGAGGUUUCCAUGCUAACGAUAGUAUACCAGCCUAGCUAGAGUCCGGCUAUUAUACUAUUAAUAGCACGAAACACUUGAUACUACCAAGUUUUCUGCCGUUAGAUCUACCGUUUUGAUCAUUUUCACCCGUUAUAUCAUAUUAUUCAACUAAUCACCCACUCAACCCUAGGAGAUCACUAUCAUUCUAACCGCACAUUCUUUUAUCUAAAGGCCGAAAACCUAAUAGCAAGUGGUUGGUACUAUUAAUAGAUAUAUAUAUAUAUAAUAUAUAUAUAUGUCAGAACUAGCUGCAAUACUAUCAAUAGCACCAAGCUAUUAGUGCUAUUGAAAUUGUUUAGAACCUUGGAUUGAGAAAUGCGUGGUAGAUGAUGUGGCCCCAUAGUUGAGUGAGUGUUUGGUUUGAAUAUUAUGAUCAACGGGUAAAAAUAAUCAAUUAGGUUUAAUCUAACGAUAGAAUACCCUAGCGCGGACUCUCUCCUCUCUCUCGUCUCGCAAUGCCCACUCGCCCACGGCUCUCCAAGACGCAUAGAGAUAUAGACCGCGGACGGACGUAUGUGAUUGAGGCGAGCGUCCAGUGAAAACGACAGACAGCCAACCUUGUAUAUCUCCUCAGUCUCGAUAGGCGGAAUAGUUAGUAGUAAGCUCUAUUCCUGCGGAGACCCGAGGCCGUGGGCCAUCCUCGACACCGGGAUCCACAUAAGGCGUCAGCCUCAAUAACCAGGCCGAUAAUCCUCUUCCUCCUCUGCUAUAUAUAUAUAUAUACUAUAUAUAUAUAUAUAUAAAAUUGUAGCUCCUAUGCUUUAAAAGUACCAAGUUAUGGUACUUGCCUACAACAAAACUAUUCUAAGCGGCGAUUUAUUUUUUCAAUUAGGCCGCAAUUACAAUUGCCAGGCUAAAAUAUUUGUGGCAAUUUUAACAAUUGCGCUAUUGCAGGGUCGCUUAAAAGUUUUAGCGGCAUUUAUUCCGGCGGUUGGUAAAAAAUUCAAAUAAAUGCCGCUAUAAUUUAUACAAUAACGACUAUUAUAAAUGCCAGGCUAAAUAGUAUGCAAUAACAACUAUUAUAAAUGCCCGCUAAAUAAUAGUACAAUAACAACUAUUAUAAAUACCGCUACAAUUAAUUAAUUGCCGCUAAAAACAUAUAAAUGAAUUGAUUAAUAAAGCUGUAUAGCGUUAAUAAAUUAAUAUUAAGAUACUGUGAUUAACAACUAAAAAUACUACAAUCAAUUGAAAUAUUAAAAAAUAUUAGUAACCAAAAAGCAUUAAUAAUUUGUAUAACAAAUAGUCUCAACUCUCAAAUUACAAUCUCAGAAUUCAAAUUAAAUUUCAAACAUAAGUUCUAACAAAAAAUACUUGUUCAAAAUGUAGCAAAAAAAUAACAAACACCGCAUGUCUUGCUUCCCACUUCAAUUUCCGCAGCUCUAGCUGAUCUGGAUCAACCCAAAAGAAGUCAUAAAAUUAGUAUCUGAAAUUAUCAAAUAAAAAUCAUCAUAUCAAAUUUCUGAAAAAUAUGAAAGUUAGGUUGUACUGAUUUGGUCUAGCUUUCUUUUCAUUUUGUAACAAUAGCAUUCAAAUUAAGUAAACAAGCACAUCUGAAAAAAAAAAAAAAAAGAACUAGCCAGCCAAUUAGUUAUAGAAGUUGAAUACAACAUAUCAUAAAUAAUUUGUAACGAAAAAUAAAGCGUGCAAAAGCACAGGAAACUGAACUGGAAUCUGAGAAGAAUAACCAAAAUACAACUUUUCAUAGUUAUAAUCAUCACAGAUGAUAAGGAGGGAAGAGAAGAGGAUAUGAUACAUGGUCAUAAACUUGUAAUUGGAUGCUAUUGAAGAGUAUUACCAGAAUUAGAAGGCCAAGAUGAUGCAAAGAGGAAAUUAUGGGCUAAUAUAUAUCUUGUGACAGAACAUGAUAGUCUAGUCCACAAAGAUAGUGAUUUUGAGCACUUAGUGAAGGAUUAUCAGAGAUGUGAACUAAUUUGUUUGUAUUUAGAUUAACCACUAUGUAAACAAGGCAGUAUAGCACCUUUUUGUAGGCCUCGCCUUUAGUUGGGCUUCCUUUUCAAGACCAAGUUUAUCGUUUAACCCAAGUUUCAAAUCAGGCAUCCCAGAAAGGAAGCACUUCAUCAAAAUCUUUCCAGUCACGUCACAACGUAAAACACUCCCUGUAAAAAUGUCAAGAAAUUUGCAGAAAACUAAUUACAUACUUCGGAGAAGGAAAAACAGAAAAAAAAAGGAAAAAAAAACAUCGAUAGAUGCCCACCCAUCAGAAUGAAUAAAUAUCAAGAGACUAUGUACCUUUAGAGGACAUAAGAAGAUUUACACUUGCAACUAUAUCCAGAAAAACCUGAGAUGUAUUACCAUGUGUAAGCUUACUUUCUCAUAAAAUUCAUAGAAAGAAGACUAAUUAAAGAAGUAGCACCUCAUUUUUCUUGUAAACAAGACCCUCACGCCUCCAACCGACAGCACCUGUAACUUGUAGAGUAGCAUUGGGUACAGGCCUAUCUGAGGACUUCAAUUACAGAAAGAAAAGGUAGUAAAAACAUGUUAAUAUAUUCCUUAACUGCAGAACUAAGCCAAUUAAGGUAAAAGUGUUAAACUGCGGAUGGAUGUGGUGUUAUACAAUGCAAGCUCAUCUCCAGUGCAAAAUUACAGAAUCAAACAUCCAAUAUAUCUAACCUUGGAAGAAAAUGGUGAACGGAAUCCUUGUUGAGUGAUGUAGAGCUUCAAUAUUUCAGGUGAAAGAUUUUGUGGGUAUCCAAAAUCCAUGAUCUCUGCAUAUUAAGCAAUGGUAUCACAUAGUGGAAGUUUUAAAUUAAGUACACCAAAUGCACCCUAAAGAAAUAGAUUUCUUUUUGAAUGUGCGAAGUGGGUAAGGGGGCAAGGAAUUCUUCAGAUAUUAAAUAACAUAAAUUGCAAAUUCACAAAAGACUCUUGAGGUACUCUUGGCUAAAUUACAAAGCACAAAAAGCCGAAAACUCUUAACCAGAUAUUCCAAAUUUGUAUGGGAUUUCAUUUUAAACGAAUAACAUAAUUUUACUAGAGCAUUAAUUCAUUAGUAAUGGCUGGAAAUGUUAUCCAAAAAUUGAUGCAAACAGCCAUAUUAAGUUCUAGUUAAGCAGUGUAAACCGACUCUACGAACAAUUUCAAAAUAAUUUUAAGCAAUUAUAAAGCCAUAGAGGAAUUAAACCACACAUAUAAAUUUCAAUUAACCUAACAUCUCAAUGGAUGAUGUGGCAUGCAAAAUCCAUGUAGUAUCAUCUACUUAAGUUGCUAUUUGAGUAGUGAUGUUGAACAAGUCUUAAGUUCAUUUCGUUAAGAUCCUCUAAGCAGAAUCUGAAGAAAGCCUGAAACAAACUUUUGUCAAAACUCAUUUCAACAUUAGAGAGAGAAGAAAGCCUUUAGCCGAAAACUCGGCUUCCGCUAUAUGAAAGUCAACAUGCUUCAACUGGCAUUGUGGGCUUAAAGAGGUUUUCAACGGCUUAGCUGGUUGCUCACUCUAUUCCUUAUGUGUGAGAGAAGAAGAUGACGAGGGGAAGAGAAAAGACAAAAACAAAGGAAAAAACAGUACUUAGAAAACACAUAAUAAAGAGUAAUAGUAAAUCAAUAAUAAUCGGUCAGUGAAAUUUAUCAAUUAGACUAGUCAUAAUGAUAAAGCGUAUAAGAUCACGAUUCUAUGAAGUUAUCAACAACGAAUGAUAAAUGUAGGAUUAGAAGGUUGCAGAAAUAGAUGUAUUAAACACUCUAAUCUGCAGAAACUGUUGCCUAGACCUGCAGUGUGGCCAAGCGAAUAUACGCUCAUCAGGUAAACAGCCGAGUUAUUAACCAAAUGCUACAUGAGAAUAUAAUUCAAAAUAUUACUGAUGAGUCAAUCUUGGUGUACUAAGAUGGUUGCUGAUGAUUGGUUUAGUUUUUCAUACUUUGAUCGACAUAUUAAAAUGACUAAGAGUUGGCAAUAAAGUAAGUACAGGAAAAAAAAAAGAAGAUAAUUUUACACAUAAUUGGUGGAAAUAAUACAAAUAAUAGUACAAAUUAACUGGCAUUAAUGCGACAACAAUUGUACAUCACCUUACUAAACCCCACUAAAUUAGAGAGAGAAGAUCCUGAUACCACAUUGAAGAUGGAGACCCAAGUUCGAAAUUGAAGGGUUAAAGGACGUAAGCACUAUUGUGAACGCAAUCUCUGUACAUUGCAAGUACUGUAUUUAGGUAGAACAAUUAGCUAUGUUGGUCUAUCCAUUCAUUCGUAUGACUUGAGCAUACUCAGUUGAUCUGAUUACUUGUUCCCAUUUUCUUGCUUCUGGGGAAGUCCACAUUCAUCUAUUUACCUUGACAUUCAUCUUAGACCCUCUAAGUGAUGUUCGUACAAGAAAAUUUGUCUUCUAAGAGAAGAUUCUUCUAGUUUUGCUCAGAUAAUACCUACUUGACUGUUUGUGCCUAGAAAAUUUUGGCUAGUGCAACAGUUUGAUCUUCAAAUUUUAAUUUAUUAUAAUUUUGGGCUCAUGCUUUCUAGAUUGUUGCAAUGCAAUCAAGUUUUACAGUCUAAUAUUAAUUUGACUAAAUGGUCACAACUUAAUUAAUAUUAAUCUCGCAUUUUCUCAAAUUUUUAUUAAACUCGAACAUUAAUCUCACAACAAUACAUCAAAAUUUACAUCACACGAUUGAACUAGAUCGACAUAAAGAGGACGAAAAUGAGAUGAAUACAUCCAAAAACCUUACAGUUGAUGAAAAUUAAAUCUCACCAUUAAUUCUACUAUAUUUUGAUACACAAACAUCAUAAUUUCAUCUUUGAUUCCUUUCCUCUGUAAAUUACACUCCUUUUCUUAUCUUAGAAAAAAAUUGGAUGCUACUGAUUCUUACUACUACAAAAACUACUGCAUCUUUCAACUCAAACAUGGAAUCACAUUGUAUUGCCACCAAAUCACAUUUAGGUAAAAUAGCAUAAUCGAUUUGACACAAUUAAGUUAGAGUCACUAUGGAUAAGGAAUCAGAAUACUUUGCAGUUGACAAAAUUCUCAAAUCGAAAUCAUAUGGUUUGAUUAACUUGAUUUCAAAUCUUUUUUCACUUGCACCAAGAACGGCCAGUCAUUUGAGAGUGCUCUUAUUUGGAAAUAUUAGUGGUUUUGUUUAACUUGAUUUCAGAUGCUUCGGAACGAUUUCAAAAAGUAUUAAGCAAAUUGGGUAAUUUUUUAUGACGAAUUUGCCAUGAUUUGUAAUUCUCAAAUAUAAAUUAAACAUAUCUAACCAGAAUACUCAAAAACUCCUUUACGGAUCCUGCAAGGAUAAAACAGAAACAGUGAACAAUAGAUUUCAAGUCAAUCACAUUCACUCCAAUUCAUGCGAAUUCACUGAUUUGAAAAUCAAUUCAAUUCUACUUUGAUUUGGUACCAAACAGCAUUAACAAAAUAAACAUACAGGUCCAGAUUGUGCAAUUUACAUGUUUCGACAGUUUCUAAUUUUACCAAAUGGGCUGAGAUAACUGCAUAUCUGUAUAAGAUGCAAUGUAUACAAUAGAAUCUGCUUCUAAUUAUGUUUUCUGGAAACAAAAGUCGAAAUCCUCAACAGUAAGAAAGUGGACAACAAAUCGAAAGUCGAAAAAGGAACUCUGGCUCGAAAAAAAAUAUUCAUUAGAUUUCCCUUAUGCUCAGCUCAUAUAUUUGAAUAAAUGACAACAUGAUACCACUGAGUCAAGUAGAACAAUAUUACAACACAUAAAUCACUAGUAAGUCAAGCAGAAAGAUAGAACAACAAAAAAAAUUUAGUUAAUCUUAGAAAAAAAAAACUGAUACAAAAAGCAGCAUAUGAUUAUUAUUAAUACAGUACAUCAUCUAAUUUAAAUCUUUCUAAUUAUUAUUUAGUAUCUGCAUAAAAAUGCUGAACAAUAACUCUCACAGCAAUUGGAAUCCUCACAGUGUGUUGGUCUAAUCCUCCCUACUCUAGCAUUCACAUAAAACAGAUCCAGAUCUCAAGAAGAAUUGAUUGUGGAUGUAAAAAGCAGUGAAAGAUCGGUGACGUCGAGGGAAGAAUGGGGACCUGAUGUCGAGAUCGGUGACGUCGAGGGAGAGCUGGGCGUGCUAGAGGGGAUUCUCGGUGACCCACACGGCGCGGUCGUCGCGGCUCCGCCAGAACCCUAGAUGCCGCUGUCGAGAGCUUCCUCAGCCACUCCUCCGCCGCCGAGAGCUCCUCCGCCGGAGACGACGCCGCCGCCGCCGAGAGCUCCUCCGCCAUGGAGAGCUCCUCCCCCGGAUCCGAGCUUAGAGAACGCCGCGACGCAGCUUGGAUCGAGAGGGGAGGGAGAGGGAGAGGGAGAGGGGGAGGGGGAGGGGGAGGGAUGUAGGGUUUGCGCGGGGUGGGGAUCGCGAUAGAAAAGGGCGCGACUGAGGUGUCGACUCAGGGGGGGGGUGGGGGGAUCGUGGGUUCAGAUCCGGGUGUGUGGUUAGGGUUGGAGUUGACGUUAAAGGAUUAUUUAUGUUUAUUAAUAUAAUAAAUAUAGUUGGUAAAUAUAUAUAUUUUGAAAAUAAUUGCCGCAAAAUGAUAAUUAAUAUAAUAGUAAUAGUUGCCGUUGAUAAUCACCGCUAAAUAAAUGCCACCAAAAUAUAGUUUUGUUGUAGUGUUGUAAGUUUUCGGCCCUUGAUUAAGGGAUGUGUGGUUAGGAUGUGAUUGUGGCCUCCUGAAGUUGACGUGGGUGGUUGGUUGAAUAAUAUAAUCUAACGGGUGAAAAUGAUCAAAGGUGUAGAUCUAACGGUAAAAAAUUUACAAGCACCACGUGCUUGGUGCUUUUACAAGCACCAUAGUCGGACUAUAUAUAUAUAUAUAUAUAUAUAUAUAUAUAUAUAUAAAGUUUUACAUAAAUAUCUGCAUGACAUUCGGUCAAAACGACUAGUUAGUAAGUUCACUUGAGGAGAGUGACUUUCUGGACUAUUUGAUAAAGUUUAAGGUGUCUCUUUACCAAGAUUAAGAGUUUAGGCACCUGUUUGUAAAUGAGCUAAAGUUCAGGGGUGUCCCUACAUUUUUUCCUAAUUUCUAUAUCGAUAGAUCAUUUAAUCAAAUUUAGUUGAAAUUACAAAUUAUGGAACCAUCUUGAGAUAUUAAGAUCCUACAUGCUACAUCACUAUUAUGAAAUGAUGCGGCAGCUAAUUCAGUGCUAUGUUAUUGUUGCAUCAUCUCUUAGAGACGGCAUGACAGAAUGAUCCGUUACCGCAUCAUUCCCUGUUUCAGGGAGGUCGAGUCAAGGAGAUCUAUCGUAGGUAGUGAUCCGAUGAAAACUGAAGCUAUAGUUUGGUGAAUCAACAAAUCAAAAUCUGAAUGAUCUAAUUGAUUGAAAUGGGACAUUGUGUGAUUUACCAACGAAGAAAAUAAUCGGGUAAACUAACACUUUUGGUUCGAUGUUUGCAGCACGACGGUUUUCAGCCACUCGCAAACGGUGAUUGUGUGCGCGAACUGCCAGACGGUGCUGUCCCAACCAACCGGCGGUCGCGCGAAGCUCACCGAGGGCUGCUCCUUCCGCAAGAAAGGCGACUAACUGCAGCGGUGCGUCACCUCCCGCGCCCUUUCCUCUCAUACUUUGUGAAUAUUCGCUGCUUUCUGGGAGACGAGUUUGUUAUCUUAUAGAAGAUUAUAAAAAAAAAAAAAAAAAAAAAAAUUGUAGUUCUGAGUUUACGUGAGUUUUAAGUUUCCACAGUAUGUUCGUAGAGAAUGGCGAAACUGGGUGUGUAUGCACAUGUUUUGUUGUGUAAAAAACUGGCACUUUGAGUAAAGCAUGGUCGGAGUUUUCGCGAUUUUGUGUUAAAAAGUAAUGUUUGAUGGAUUUCUCUGUUUCCGGGUUCAUUUGGUUGUAAAAUAAAACUUUGUGAACCAUAAAAAAUAAGAAUAAAAAAAGUAUUGGGCUAGCACAGGCCUGGCCGGACCCAUUCAGGCCUGAGGGCCAUGCUAAAGUCGCGGGCCUGAAAAAUUUUGCAUGGCAUGGCGCAGGCACCGUCUGAAUAUGAUUUGUAGCUGGGGCAAGUCGGACUGACUCUGGGCCUAAUUCAACUCCGAAAAAUGUAGGCCGUGCCAACCCUGCACGGCUCAAAUUACAUCCCGAGACCCAAAUAUUUUAAUUUGUAAGUUGUUAUAACUUUUCUAAUGGAUCCUUACUUUGCCCACAAGGUGAGGGUAAGAAAUGCUUGUGUGGAUCCAAGGAAUAUGGGCCCCAGUUGGACCUUUAAUAAGGGCUUAUCUGGGAUUGCAGGCAAAAUACACUAUAUGGGUGUGUUUGGUUCGAAGUCCGAAUCAGUAUCGAAAUCAGAAUGAGAAUAAGUUUGAAACGGAAUUGGAAUGAUUCAUUACUUCUUUCUGUUUAAUUCGCCACCUGAAUCGGAAACAGAAUGAACUAUUUCCAUUAUCGGUGUUUGGUUCAGAUAGAUAUCAGAAAUGUAAUCAAAUUAAUAUACCAAUUUUAUCUUUAUAAUAUAUUAGUUUAAAUACAAACUGAAAAUUAAAUAUUAAAAAUUUAUGUCAAAAUUUUAAAUAUAUAUUUUUUUAAAAAUUAAAAUUUGAAACUGAAUGGAUAAUUCAAAAUAUAAAACUAAAUUUCGAUUUGUUCAAAUUCAAACAUCAAAUUAUAAUUUAAAUUUUAAUUUGAAUCUUUAAUUUUUAAUAUAAAUUUUAAAUAAAAUUUGAAUAAAAUUUUAGAUUUUAAAUUAAAUUUAAAUUUAAAUUCAAAUUUAUAAAUUAGUUUCGAAAUGUUUUAUUGAAUUUUAAUUUUUACUUUAAGUUCAAAUUAAAAUUAAAAUUUAUAAAAUAUAAUUUUAAAACUUAAAUUUAUGUUUUAAUUAAAAAAUAAGCUUAAAAAAUUAAAUUUAAUCCGAACAAAUUCAUUCCCUCCGGAUUCAUAGGCGGGAUUGAAAAAAGGGUAAUUAGGGAGAUUCCCAUUCACCCGAAAAUCGAAAUCGGAAUGGAAAUUCCGCAUACCAAACAUGGACAAAUGAAUUCGGCCAUUCCGAGUCUGAUUCCAGGGUGAAAAAUGGGUGAACCAAACACGCGCUAUAUGUAGAGAAAAAGUUUGGCGAAUGAAGAAAAGAACUUUAUUUUCUUCUGUAAAUGUUGGUAGUGUUUGGAUGCAAGUAUAUCUUUGAUUUACUUGAAAAGAUUGUAAUUUCCGAUCGGUAAGGAGUGUGAUCAAAUUGUUAGUCUCGGAAUAAGAUAAAUCAUUCUAUAUAUAAAAUAUACUGUUCUAUCAAAUCACGGAUAUAAUCUCAAUCUUGGAAGAAAAUACUGAGAUAGAACAAGUUAUCACUGUAUUCCAACAUCCAAACAAGGCCCACUGCAGACAGCGGCCUAGCAUAGACUGGCAUAGAUUAAGAAAAAUUUUCUGUUGUCCCAACCGAAAAAAGUAGGUGGAUGUCACGUCCCGGGCUUGAGCGGAAGCUUCUCCGGUAGCGUGUUCAGAUCAGCCGUGUGUACAUGACUCCCUCACACACACGAAGCGACAAUUUAGAACAUUUGACUCGUACACUCAGACCAGAUCAGCCAACUGGAAGUGUGAGAUGGGAUCCCACAUUACCUGAUGAUUUUGGACUAUGUAUAUAACUGUGCGGUUAUGCUUGACGAUGACGUCAAGGCUUAAAAAAGAAAACGUCUAGACAUCCCAAGACUUGAGAAUAGUUCCGCGUCAGAUAGCUAUAGUGAGAUAUGAGAGUAUAUAAACUUGAAUCGGCUAGACUCAAUAACUAGGCAGUAUCAUUUUGGGCUAGUGAAUUACGCCCAACAAACUAUUAGGUCUGGAUAUUCAGUUAAUCGAGUCGCAAGCUCAGUGACAAGUGGCCUUCUGAGAAGCAGGUCGUGUUGGUGGAGAAACUCCCUAUGUACACACGUUCGCUCCAAAUCUGUUCUCUCCAAAAACGUGGAAAAUAAAAUAAAAAAGGUAGCUUAUGAAUAGUACUAUUUCAACGGUUCUCAUUUUAAUAUAUUUAUGUUAUUUUUAAAGAUAUUUUUGAUACACUUAAUUAUAAAUUAUAAAAAGUAAAGAAAAUAGUGACAAAAUUCUGACGAGGAAGGAUUAAGUAUUAUCAACUUAAGAUUAAUGGGAGCAACAAUAAAAUUUUAGAACUAAUCUAUUAAAUUUUGCAUGAAUUUCUACUAGCAUGGAUAUUUGAGAAUAUUUUAAAUGUUUAUGAGGGCAUGGGUUAUAUUUUUGAUCUUUAAAAGGGGAUUCAUAAAAUUAUAACCUUUCACAAGUUUUGGUGGACCGGGUCUAUGAAAAAAAAAAUCUCCGCAUGUGGAGGCACGGCAAGCGACGAGAACCGGCCCAUCCCUAUCUCCAACAGGGAUAAGAUCCCCUUAGGUGCACGUGUCGCUUUAUUGUAAUGCCACGUGGCACCAUAGCACAGAUCCAUGGGACACGUGUCACGACGCCAACCAACUUUAUUUUACACAAUGCGUGGAUGUGGACGUGGGUGUUUUUUAUUGUCGCAUAUUACGUCGACAUAUGACAUGUAGGAUCCACGCGGGACGACUUUUUUGGGUUUUUUUUGUCCUUAUUUUGGUUUUUUUUUUUGUUUUUCGUUUUUUUUCAUUUUUUUUAUGCGGGAUGACUCGAGUAGAAGACACGGUGUGUUCUUUGGAAUUUUUCAAGUGGGUCCUUGUAAAUAAAAAAAAAUUAUAAAAAAAAUGGAAGAAUGAAAAUUUUGUGUUAAUUGUAUUAUUGGUCUCUAAUAUCUACCUAUUUUGUUUUUACUUAGGUCCCUGUUGGGGCGGAAAAAAUAGCACCAGCUAGUAAACGACUCAGUAUAUUAACUAAACUUAUAGUUCUGUUCUUUUUGUAUAUUGAGGAAGAACUCGGUAGAGCUAAUCCUUUCUCAACCGAAUCACUGAAUCUUAACGCAAUCGAAGGUUAAUCAAAGAACGAAUAUUCUCCAUCCGAAGGUGCAUUUGAUUCGGUCAACGACUUAACCUGAUCAACGUUCUCAGCAAUUCAGUUCGCACUCAAAUAGUCCCUAACCUCUUCUCACAUGUGCAAUCAUCCCGACAUCGCAUAUGAUGCUUAUGAUCUAUUUUCGAGUAUUCGACGUUUUUGACAUUAAGACGAUCGUGCUGUCAAAUUCUUUCAGAAAAUUUAAAAAGCCGAUGCAACCGUUCGAAAUAAACUAUUUAACUGUUCAACUUGAAUAAAUUAAUAAAAUUAGGUAGAUAUGUCUAAAUUUAAAAUUUAUGUAGUUAAUUUAAAAUAAGCUAUAGUUGAAUAUUGUUUUUUUCCCUAUUUUGAGAUAAAUAAAAAGAGGAGGCAUUGACUCAAGUAAACGCUGGCGAUUUGUCCUUUUCAUUUGCAGAGUGUAAGACGUAUCUUUGGAGAGGAUAAGUAAUGAGAUGGGCCACUCAAUGCAAUGGCAUGUUUUGUUAGGGACAAAAUAAAUCUUAGAAUAAGCGAAUGAUUUAAAAAUUGGGUUGAAUCGGCCAGUUCAAUCAGUCUGACUAUAUUCAAUCUAUAAAGUGGUUCAGUUUAAUUUUUUGAAUAGAAUAAAUCAAAAAUCACUUUGAAUCAUUUGAGCUGACGAUUCAACUAUCGAACCAGUAAACCGGUCCGCUUUUAACCAAACCAACAGGAUUGUUUUGUUCAAUUCAUUAAAAUUUAACUAUUUAAAAUUAAUUUAACUGAUUUUAUUUUCUAUUAGCACAAAUUAAUCUUAUAAAACGUAAAACUUGAAAAUUAAUAUUUAUUUAAUUUGGUCUAAAAAUCAGUAUUUUAUAAUUAAAUAUGAUACUAGAAUAAUAAUACAUUUAUAUAUUUUAUAUAAUAUAAUAAAAUAAUAAUUAAAUAUUUAUGAUGUUGUGUCGGCGUCACUUGUUCAAUCAGUGGCUUUUAUACAGAACUUAUGAGAACUAUAGACUAUUUUGAGUCGACUAUAUAACGUUUCAAACUUCUGAUUUUCUUUGUCCAAUCUAAUGAAUUUAUAAUUGCAAAAAUUACAUGAAGUACACGGGCUAAGUCUAUAAUGAUUAAACGAUGAAUUCAAAAUUUGAAAUCAAAAUAUCAUUGAUUGGCUCAAAUCAACCAAAUUAAAAGAUUGGACAAUAAAAACACAAUUUUGAAACAUUGGAUAGUCCAUUAAAAAUAAUCAAUAAAAAAUGAAAAAACUUUAUUUCCAAAUAACUGACUUUACACCAAACAAACAAAUGUGGAAAAACGAUUUUGGCUUGAAUUUUAUGUCAACUAAAAAUUAUUUUUAAUUUUAAUUCUGUCAAACGGAAUGAUAUGAUUUUGAUAAUGACGGAUAAAUUUAUUGAAUUUACUCAUUAUUUUUUGAAUAAUUUUAUUAAAUUUUGUGAAUCUAAUUUGCGGUUUUUUUUUUUUAAGGCUUAAUGCUCUUCAUUUAAUAAGUAAUUUUCUUUUAUAGUAUUAAAUAAAUUUUAUAAUAUUAAACUAAUCAUCCAAAAAUUAAUUGCAAACUUAAAAAAUUAAUCUAAUAUUAUGAAUGUUCAAUAUUGUGGUCCCACUAGAUAUAAACUCACAAAUCAAUAACAUUAAUUUUAAGUGACCUUAUAAUCUACGCCAAAAAUAAAAAUAAAAAUAAAAAUAAAAAUAAAAAUAAAAAUAAAAAGUAAAAUAAAAUACUGCUUUAUGGUAGGGAUGUAAAUGGGACUGAUCUAGGCUGCAGCCCCGGAUCCACCCUAUUAAACAUUUUUUUUAAAAAAAAUUUCUGUUCAAAUCUAAAUUAAAUAGAAUAAAUUUUUUAUUAUUUUUAAAUGUGAUUUUAAGAAAAAGGGCAAUUGCUUAUAUAUUUUUGAAAAAUUUUCGACUUUCUGAAAUUUUGCCUUUUCAAAUAUAUCUUUCUAUUAUUAUCGGCUUUUCUUAUUUGCCUUUAAAAGUUAAGUACAAAAUAGGUAUUUUGAUUUUUUUUUUAACUCAAGUAAAAAAUUUAACCCGAGUUCAAUUUGAGAUAAUUUUACGGGUAGUAACAAUGGGAGUAUUUUUUAAUAACAGAGAACUAUAUAAGGGGUAUAUUUGAAAAAAAAAAAGAAGGAUAAAUUAGAUAUUUCAAAAGUUUUAAGAAGCAUAUUAAAUAUUAUCCCUAAAAAUAUAAUCAAAGUAUUAUAAAAAUAACUAUAUAUUAGAUUAUAUUAGUGUUCGAAAGACCUAAUAUUUAAAACCCAUAAUAAUAUUUUUAAAAAAUGAAUAGUUGUCAUACUAUUACGUAAAUGUUGAUCCGAGACGAAUUUGGGGCAGGGCUUGAAUGUAUGGAUUUGGGACAGAUUUUGGAUGGAUUAAUUCUUUUACCUUGUUCCAAUUUGAAUCCAUUUUGGGUCAUAAAAAUACUUCCAUUUAUUGUGUCAAAUUUGUGUUAAAUUAUAUAAAUAAUUAUUUAUUUUUAAAAAUUUAAAUUAUCUGAGGAUAGUGUUUAUAUAUUUUAUAUUCAAUACUCUCCUCAAGUCUGGGCUCGAAAUUUUUUAAUAGAUCAAAGAAGUGGACUUAAUUAAUAGGAGAAAAUUUAAAAACAUCAGGAGCCUGAUGAGACACGAACUUAGGACACUCUAUUUUGAUACUAUGUUAUAUUAUAUAAAUGUGACACCCCAAUAAUCCCACAUCGGAUAGUUAUGACUAGAUAUGGAAGUAUAUAAAUUUGAUUGUCUAGUUGGGCUAGACAUAAUAACUGAGCUUAAGUAUUUUGAGUUAUAGUCGGAAUAACAAAGGCUAGUGAGACAAGUCUCACAUCGCUUGGUGAUCUUGGACUGUAUGUGUGUUUAGGACUGAUAGUCCCAUAUCGGAUAGUUAUGACUAGAUGUGGGCAUAUAUAAGUAGACAUAAUAACUGGGUUUAAGCAUUUUGGGCCGGUAGUUUGGACCCAAUGAGUUAUUAUUGCUAGCGGGUCAGGUCGUUACAUUUGGUAUCAGAGCCAGUUCACCGCCCGGAAGUGUAAGAUGAGUCUUGGCUGAGCCAGGGUCGGAAUGACAAACUAAGUCAGGGUCGGUGAUUGACAGGCUAAGUCAAAGUCGGAGUGACAAAGGCUUGCGAGAUAAGUCUCAUAUCGCCUGGUGAUCUUGGGUUGUAUGUGUUUAGAGCUGACAAGGACGUCAGGGCCUAAACGGGGAGAAUCUGUGACAUCCCAAUAGUCUCACAUCGGAUGAGAAUGGGAUUGUCAUUGGGUUUAUAAAAGGACUUCACCCUAGUAAUAAUAAUUGGGCUUAAACAUUUUGGGCUAGUAGUUUUGGCCCAACGAGUUAUUAUUGCUAGCGGGUCGGGUUGUUACAUUUGGUAUCAGAGCCAGUUCACCAGUCGGAAGUGUGAGAUGAGUCUUGCCUGAAUCAGGGUCGGAAUGAUAGACUGAGCCAGGGUCGGUGAUUGACAGGACAAGCUAAGUCAGGGUCGAAAUGAUAAAGUGAGGCAAGUCUUACAUCACCUGGUGAUCUUGGGCUAUGUAUGUGUUUAGGGCCCAAUAAUCCCACACUACAUGUAGGGCUUAAGCUUUGGGAGAGUCUGUGACACUCGGGAGUAUAUAAGCUUUAUUGAGCUAGACAUAAUAACUAGGCUUAAGCAUUUUAGGCUGGUAGUUUGGGCCCAACGAGUUAUUAUUACUAGCGGGUCACAUUUGGUAUCUGAGCCAGUUCAUCAGCCGGAAGUGUGAGAUGAGUUUUGACUCAGCCAGGAUCAGAAUGACAGACUAAGGUAGGGUCGGUGAUUGACAUGCUAAGUCAGAGUCGAAAUGACAAAUGCUAACGAGACAAGUCUCACAUUGUUUGGUGAUCUUGGGUUGUAUGUGUGUUUAGGACUGACAAGGACGUCAGGGCCUAAACGAGGGGAGUCUGCAACACCCCAAUAGUCUCAUAUCGGAUAGUUAUGACUAGAUGUGGGAAUAUAUAAACUUGAUUGUCUAGUUGAGCUAAACAUAACAGCUAGGCUUAAACAUUUUGGGCUUGUGGUUUGGGUCCAAUGAGUUAUUAUUGCUAACACGUCGAGUCAUUACAUUUGGUAUCAGAGCCAGUUCACAAGCCGAAAGUGUGAGAUGAGUCUUGGCUGAGUUAGGAUCGGAAUGACAGACUAAGCCAUGGUCGGUGAUUAACAGGUUAAGUCAGAGUCGGAAUGACAAAGGCUAGCGAGAUAAGUCUCACAUCGCUUGGUGAACUUGGGUUGUAUGUGUGUUUAGGUCUGGCAAGGACAUCAGGGCCUAAAUAAGGGGAGUCUGUGACACCCCAAUAGUCCUACAUCGGAUAGUUAUGACUAGAUGUGGGAAUAUAUAAACUUGAUUGUCUAGUUGGGCUAGACAUAAUAACUGGGUUUAAAUAUUUGGGCCGGUGGUUUGGGCCUAACGAGUUAUUAUUGCUAACGGGUCGGGUCGUUACAAUAAAACAAGAUUGGCAUCAAACUUGAGUUGGUAAAUGAGCGGAUUGGGUGAUUCGCAGUAGAUCAUCAUAUCUGCGGGUUACCCGUGCUCUUUUUUUAUUCUUAUUUUUUUCAAAUACAAAUUAUAUAGAUAUAAUUUUUAAAAAGCCAUAACAUAAUCUAUUCUUUAAAAUAUCACAAAUAUAUUUAAAAUAUCAUAAUAUACAAUAAAUAAUGUACAGUUUUAAAACAACACUAAGAAUAUAUAUAUAUAUAUAUAUAUAGGCGGAUACCCACGGGUAGGGGUGGCAAUCCAACUCACUGUUCAUAAGUCAGUUCUUGUUCGACUUAUUAAUAAGUGAGUCGAAUACAAGCUAAUACAAGCUAAAAUUUUCAGCUCGAUAUUUUAACAAGUCAGCUCCUAUUCUGUUCAUUUAUAAAACUAGCCAAACACGACCCGAUCCAAGCUCGCUCAUGUUUGACUGGUUGACACCACUACCGGCGUGUAUCUAUAGAUCAACAAAAAUAUUCAUAAUGGAUAUCCAUCUAUCUUAUCCGCAAUUUUUAGGUAAAAAAAUAAUGCUCAUACUCGCAAAUCUGCGGUAACAUGCGGAUAUGCCGUUAUAGGUAGAGAUUGUUGGAUCUGAAACUACUACUUUUUAUAAUAAUAAUAAUAAUAAUAAUAAUAAUAAUAAUAUCAAAUGUACUAAAAAUAAUUUAAAUUACUGACUAACUGCCAGAACUCUGAAACCAAUCUCUUUCCUGACUCGUUCAUGUGGGAGAAUUAGGUUUAAUUAUGCUUCCUACAUGCUAUUUAGCUACAUGCUUAACACAUUUCAAAUUUUUUAGGGUUUCUUUACUAUAUGUUUAACAACAUUUCAAAUUUUUUAGGGUUUCUUUACAACAUGUUUAACACAUUUCAAAAUUUUUAAUUUUCUGUAUACAUACUAUUUUUUAACUUUCCAAACGUUCUAUUGAAAUUGACCUUUUUUGGGCUAUAUUACACUCUUAAUCCUCAAAUUUUACUUUGCAAGAUACUUCAGUUCUUAAAUUUUAAUUUAUUGUAAUUUCUGGUUCGAACUUUGUGAGUUAUUGCAAUUAAGCCAUUAAACACAAUUUAACUGGCCAAAUGUUGAUGUGUUGGUAAUAUAAAAGUGAUGCAAUAGUAUUGCAAUUAAUAACAGAAUAAUACUAAGAUGUCAUAUCACUUUUGUAUUAAUGAAACGUUAAUAUUUAGUCAAUUAUAUUAGAGGCUAAAUUAUAUAAAAUUUUUCUGUAAAAAUUUAAUUUUUCACUUUUCCUCCCUGUCAUUUAAAAACCUACACUUUGCCCUCUCGUAAAAUGAAAAAUGUUCACAGGAGGUACGGUGUGAAAUGUGAUAACAAAAUGACCAUUUUGCUCCUUAUUAUUUUCGUCUCCUCCCUCAUCUCACUCAUCCGCUACCUCGAUCGACCGUAGUUCGCGUCUCGAUUCGCCGCGGUUUCUCUCCAUUUUCUUCUCCACCUGCUCCCCCUUCUCCUCCUGCACCCUCGUCGCCCUUCCAUUUCGGCGACAGUAGGCAGCAUAUCGAGGUGGGUGUGGAUGAAAAGGUAGGCAAGGGCAACGAGGGCGAAGGCGAGGCGGCGAAGGAGGGCGAGAGGGUGUUUCUGAGCGCGGACGGAGAUGUAGGCGAGGGCAAGGUAGUGAAGGAGGGCGAGGCGGUGAGGCGGAGGAGGGCGAAGCACAGUAGAAAGAGCGGAGGGUAUUUUUGGCAUAAAAAAGAUUUUAUAACAGAACUUUAGCGGAUCAUUAACAGUAGGGGGUAAAAUGAACAUUUUUCAUUUCACAAGGGACCAAAAUGUACGUUUUUAAAUGACAGGGGGAGAAAAUGAAAAAUCGGAUUUUGACAGAAAGAUUUUCUAUAAUUUAGCCUAUAUUAGAUUAUGGGAUUUAAUUAUAAUAAUUUAUAAAGUUCGAGCCAACAAUUACAAUAAAUUAAAGUUUGAAAAUUAAAGUGUCACGUGUAUCAUAGUUUGAGGACCAAAUAUAUAAUUAAGUAAUUUUUUCUUUUUCUAUUUAUCAGUAUACUAUUCAAUUAGAGUAAUGCAUUUAUGCAAAUUUAGGGAAUCUCAAAGGGAGACAUGUUACCUAACCACCCACUUCCUCACUUCCUUAAUUUUUUGUUAAUUUUUUUUUGUUAGCUUAUUCAAAUUAUUUUAAUUACUUUAUUUCAAUUUUUUUACUCAAAUAGUUUUACAAAAUAUUUGAGGGCAUUUUUGGUUCAAAUUGUUGUGGAAAUGAAAAAUAAAAUUGAAUUGCAUUAGAAUGAAAAAUUAAAUAAUGAAUUAUAUAAAAGUUUUUGAUUCGUUAUUAAAUUGGAAAUCGGAAUAGAGACCUAUAAUUUUCAAAGAAAGUUUUCAGUAAAAGAAAGAAGAGUGAUAAGGGAUGCAAAUGGAUCUGAGUUUGUGGAGCUCCCAGCCUGAUCUGCCCCGAAUGAGACUGCAAGUGGGAACCAAAAAUAUAUAAAAAUGCAACCUGUUCGGUAUCCCCAAAUAACAACUAUCAAAAUAAGCUAAACUCAUUCUGAUUCCAGAGUUUAGAAUAAGUGAAUCAAACAAGUUCUAAGUAUCCAUCAGUAAACACUAAUACCUCGCCUUACUCUCUUCCAUCUUAUAUUUUUUAUAACUAAAUUAUUAUAGACAUUUCAAACUUUUUUUCCCCUUCUUUUUGCAUAUAUAGUCUUAUAAAAUGAUCCAAUUUCCAACAUAUCCCCAUGAACUUUAUUUCUCGGAAUUUUAACCUUUUGGAAUAAAAUGCCUCCAUUCUUUUCAGAAUCGACCAAUCUACAAAUUAACUGGCAUAUUUAUUUUUCAAAUAAAGUUUAAAGAUGAAGAGAGAAGAUGAUAGGAAUGAAUUAAAUUGAAAACAUGUGGAGGAGACGGGAAAUAAUUUAUUUGCCUAUCUAUUAUCUCCCGUGUCAACAAAAGUAGAUUCAUAUAUAAUUUAGUGGACCAUAUUAGAAAUUGAUAUUUUUUCCUCUCACUACAACAGAAUUAGGUUAUAGGGACACAUGUUUGAGACACUUUUGAGUAAGCGUCCCAUUUAUGCUAAAACUUAAAACACAUCUACUAAUACCUAAAUAUAAAGCUCAAUCCAACUAAAAAUAAAAGAUUACUCUACUCAACCCACCACACCCAGUCCAUUUGACCCGAUUACAAACAGAAAAGAAAAAAAAAAAAGAAAAAUCAAUUACCAUCUUUUCUUCUCUCUUCACUCAAUCCAUUGAAAUUCUAUAUGAAGAGGCUUUACUGUCGUCCUCCUCCGCCACCGCAACCAACGAGAUAGAGUUUCGGCGGUUGCUAAAUGCUUAAGUAAGUGUUGGUAAAUUAGCAGCACUCUUUUAGGUUAUAGCGACACUCUUUAACUGUCACUAUAUACUUAGCGACCCCACAUAUAGCAACACUUUUUAAAAGUGUCGGUAAUUUUAGCUAGCAUCAUUUUUUUGACAUAUACCUAUAUUUAAAAGUGUCGGUAUAGACCGUUUUUGUUGUAGUGCCUUUUUUUUUUUUUNUACAAAAUAAUUAUAUGAAAUAUAGUAUUAUAAUAUAAAAAAAAUAAUUUAUAAGUUGAAUAUCUAAUUUUUUCAGCCUUAUAUGUCUUUUCUUCCGCCUUCAAUCUUUAUAUUAUUCAUUUUCAUUUAUGCAGUCAAAAAUAAAUAAAUUAUAUAGAUAAAUAUUGGAUUAAACUAUCCAAUCAUAUAUAACUAAAAUUAAAAUUUUAUAUGAAUAAUAAUUUUUUACUUUAAAAAUAUUCUGUAUAUUUUCUCAAGCAUACAAUUAAUAGCAAGGUAAGCAACGGCGGGCACAUGAUUUUACUUGGUAACUUAGAGGGCUUCCGGCUUAGCCACUUAGGGUGAGAGACAGAAAAAAGGAAAGAGAGGAAUAUAUUGAAAAUUUAGAGCUCUGUGAAAGAAAGAAAGAAAGAAAGAAUGAAAGGAAAAAUAUAUAAAUUUAGUAAAAUUUUACUCUUUUAUUUGUCUAUUGGGUUUAUUUUUAUAGGCCAACAAUAUUGGCCCAAUUUUAACUGCCUUCCGUGCUUCCAGGUCGUUUUUAAUGUUGCGACUUUCGAAUUGUUGAUCGGCUCCGUUAAACUUGAUCUAGAGUAUUUGAAGUACCUAGAAAAUAAAUUUUGCAAUUUUUCGAUAUCAUUUGCCCAGUAAACUAAGGGGCUCAAAAUCAACGGCUGAAAAUAAAAAUCUUACAAAACGUGAUAAUAUGACAUUAAAAUUUUAGAUCAAAGAUAUUGAUCUUGUUUUAUAUAGUACAAAAAAUUUUCUAUCAAAAUUUCAUGUGAUUUGGAUAUUUCUACACCGUUAAACUUGCAAACGGCUCACCACGGCCAUUAAAAUUAUUGAUUUUGAGUCCUUUCGAUCACUAGGCAAAUGAUAUCGAAAAAUUAUAAAAUUUAUUUUCUAAUUACUUCAAAUACUCUAGAUCAAGUUUAACGGAGCCGAUCGACGAUUCGAAAGUCUCAAUAUCGAAAAAAGACCUAGAAGCAGCACGGAAGGCUCGGCGUGCCUUACCAGAAGCAAUAGUCAGCCUCAUCUAUAUAUAUAUUAUAUAUAUAUAUAAGAAGAAGAGAGAAUAGGCUGGAAAAUACUAUUAAUAGUAAAACGUCUUUUUGCUAUCAAGUUUUUAACCCUCGGAUAAAAAAUUGUAGGUCAGGAUAAUGUUAGUCGUUUAGAGUUGAGUAUUCCCCUAGGGUUAGUGUCCCCAUGGGUUAUUAGUAUUUAAUCCAAUGGUUAGAAAUAAUAAAAAGAGUUGAAUCCAAUGGCUAAAAACUGGUAGCAAUAAUGGGAUUUUGCUACUAAUAGUAGCCCAGUCCAACUCUAAUAUAUAUAUAUAUAUAUAUAUAUAUAUAAUAUAUAUUAUAUAUAUUAUGUGUAACUACUAUGCUAUCGAAAUAUAAGGAUUUGAUGUUUUGAAUUUGACCCUUUGAUUAAAAAUUGUAUGGUGGAUGAUUGCGGUCUCCCUAGGAUUAAAUAAUACUUUAGAGUUGAGUGGCUCUCUAACAAGUAAUAAUAAUAUUAAUUCCAAAGAUAAGAAACGAUUAAAGGGAUUGAUUUAAGAAUCAAAAAAUCGAAAGCACCAGAUCUCUAUACUUUCGAUAGUAUAGUAGCUCUACUCUAUAUAUAUAUAUAUAUAUAUAUAUUCGAGCUUUUCGAGCCUAAUUCGAACGAGCCGAGUAAUACUCAAGCUCGGCUUGAAAUGAAUUUCGAGCCUUUUUUUUUGUUCAAGCUCGGCUCAUUUAAUUUCGAGUCGAGCUCGAGCAAGCCAAAUAUCGAGUCGAACGCGAGUCGAACGCGAGCCGGCUCGCUCAUUUGCCAGCCCUACUUAGAAGCGUCGGCAAAUAAAGAGCAACUAGGCAUAUGCCGAUGCCUGUGACAUACGUAAGUGCACGUGAAUCUUAGAACGAUUGAAAAUGGUAGUUAUAAAUUUAAACUCAUAAAAGAGAUACUGAGUCCCUGACCGAUUAAUUUUAGGUGCAUGUGAACAAUACACUUGAUAAUUUUAAGUGUGAAUGAUAUAAAUGAAUAGGCGCCUAACAUAUCACAUCACAUAAAUGUAUGUAUCCAACAUAUGAAGUCGUUACUCCUCUUAAAAGUUAAUUUGCACUGCGUACCGUUUGGUUCGCUUAUAAACAAGAAUUAACUAUUAUAAAGAUAGGUACAAAUAUGGGGAUAAAAAAAAUAGCGUUUGGAUGAAAAUUGGGUUGUUCCCGGAAAUAAAAAAAAUAACGUUUGGAUAGAUAAUAUAGAAUAAAAAAAUUAUUAGGUAGUUUUAUAUAAAAAAUAGAGGUGUUGGUGGGAAUAGUUAUAACCGGCUAUUAUAGGUAACCGAGAACUAGUGUUCUCAAGUAAAAAAUUAGCGUUUGGAUAUAAACUGGGGGAUAAGAGACUAUCCCUAUCCCUAUUCCCUAACUAAACACUGCCGUCGACGUCAGACGUGAAUAACGGGAAAUCAAACCAUUCAAAUGUCCUAAUGAAAGUUUUAUGAUGUCCUGCAUGAUGCAAGCAAAAAAAAGUAGGGAAAAGUCUUCUCCAUAAUCAAGAAUUUAAGUGUCUGUCGGUACGGAUUGUCUCUAUCGUGUCAUAUCGCUCUAAUAAGUAUUGACACGAUACAGCUCCUGUGCCGAUAACAUAGUUCAAAACUCUCUAUUAUUUAAAUUAGUAAGUAAUUUUCUUAAUAAAGUUGAAAAAAUUUGAUAAAAAAACUUAAUAAACAGUUAGAAUAUUUUAUUGCUAAAGAAAAUAAAUAUUUCACAUUAUUAUGUGUUGGCACACAUGAAUAUUUGUGACCGGCAUGCAUCGGUAUGGUCCGGCACACACUGUGCCGUACUGUGCCAGCAAAUUUUCAGUAUGAUUCCGUGCCACGGCACUUAAAUUCUUGACAAAUACUGCACCAUAUAUAUAUUUCUAGAAGUUUUAACUUUUUGAUACUUCUCGUGCUAGUUCUCGACAAUGAUAUCUCCCAAUUUAUGAUCGACAUAGAUAAAUAUUAUAUAUUUCUUAUGAACUUUAUAAGAAUCAAAUUUUGUAAUCUUUCAGUAUUACGUAUCAAGUGGUCCCAAGCAUAUCUUGUAAUUAUGCCUUUGAAAUUGGUUGGUUGUGAACUCACUUGAAAAAUAAGAAAUUAAUAAUAAUAAAUUAUAAAUUUUGGUUUUUACGUAGUUCGUGAUACGUAGAUCAUAUUUAGGGUUGUCAAUAGUCCAUUUUGUAUGCUCUAUUAUCGGAUACGACGUAAAAAUACGAAGAGGCGUUUGGAUUGGGUAAAAAAGGGGAGAUAAGAGGGUUAUCUUUCAAAUUAUUCAUCGGAUUAAGAUAAAACACCUUGUAGGUAAAAAAUAAAAUCCUAUUAAAUUAUGAAUGUCAAAACUUUUUUAAGAAUAAAAAUUAAAUUCCUAUUUUCUAAUUAUAUAAAAAAAAAUUCAUACCAAAUAAGUUAUUAUCAAAUAACUGAUUUCCAAUGUUCUUAAAAUUAGGUCGAAUAGCGACCUGAAAAUAUUAAUGGACAUAGAGUCACUGGUUCAGUCGGUCGGUCAACCACUAGUUGAACCAAUAACGUUAACAUGACAUCAUAAAUAUUUAAUUAUUAUUUUUAAUUUUUAAUUUCAAAUUUAAAAUAUGAAUUUAAAAUUUGAAACCUAAAUUUUAAAAUUUUAAAUUUUGAAUUUAAAUUUUAAAAUUUAAAAUUUAAAAUUCAAAUAUUUAAUAUUUAAAAUUGAAAAUUUGAACAUUUAAAAUUUAUAUCCAAAAUUAAAAUUUUAAAUUUUAAAAAAUUUUAAAUUUAAAUUUAUAAUGUGAAAACUAAAUCACAUAAUUUAAAUUUAAACAUUUAAAAUUUUAAAUUCUAAAAAUUCAAAAUUUAAAAUUUAUAUUAAAUUUAAAUUUUGAUAUUUAAAAUUUUAAAUUUUGGAAUUUAAUAUCUAAAUUAUAAAUUUGAAAUUUUAAAAUUUACAAUUUAAAAUUUAAAAUUUAAUAUCUAAAUUUAAAUUAUAAAUUUAGAAAUUUGAAAUUUAGAAGCUAAAAUUUGAAAUUUAGAAAUUCAAAUAUAAAAUUUAAAAUUUAAAAUUUGAAUCUAAAAUCAAAAUAAAAUUUUAAAAAUUGAAUUCAAAAUGAGAGUCAGAUUUCAAGAAGCGGAUUUUAAUUGCUUUCGAUUUUGGACUUCGAAAAUUAAAAAAAAUAAUGCUAAAAAUCAAAAGCAGAUUGAAAGGAGAUUGCCAAACAUACUAUUGAGACAAAAAUUAUUUUUGGAUCCAAAAUUAUUUUUUAAAAGUUAGGUCAAACACGUACUAAAUGAUACAAUAGUUGUUUUUGAACUAUAUGACAUCAAAUCAAAAAAGCAGAUAUUUAUAAAAAAAAAUUCAGCAUUUUAGCUGGAAAAAUAUUUUUUAAAAAAUUGACAUGGUGAUGCGUGCAUCUUGGUAAUCUUUUUUUUUUUUUGNCAUCAAAUCAAAAAAGCAGAUAUUUAUAAAAAAAAAUUCAGCAUUUUAGCUGGAAAAAUAUUUUUUAAAAAAUUGACAUGGUGAUGCGUGCAUCUCAAUACUAUUUACUUUAUUGCCAUUCUCCUUUUGCUGCUCCUCCCAAAAAUCUAUUUCAAUUUGAAUUUUACUUUCAGCGAAACAAACAAGCUUACAGAGUUCACAUUCGGUUUGAGUCCGAGCAAAAGCUGUAACCGAAAUUAUAACUAUUGGGUUCUGAAUUUACCCUCAUAAUCGAAAACAGCCUAAGCUUCAGGGUAUGUUCAUUUUACCGACGAUGGAGGGGCAUGAGAUGGCUUUUCGACUGUAAAUGCUUACUUUCGUUAUUUGAGUCUCCGUAGCUUCACCUUUGGUUGAACUCAAACUCUCCAAAAUGCAAAAAUAAUAAAAUACUAAUAGUAAAAAAUUUCACCUUUUACAUUAUUUAUUUUUUACCAAAUAAACAACAAAAUUGAAAGAACUGCAAUUCCAAGACUACAAAAACAAACAGUAAAAAAAAAAAUUACCGAAACUUUAAUUCACCCAAAAGUCCAUUUCAAUCUGAAAUUCACUUACGGAUUUGAUUUACACCUGAGCAAAAGCUGUAAGCGAAAUCGUAGCUAUUGGGUUCUGAAUUUUUAUCCCUGCAAUUAAUCAAAACCUUCAAGCUUCAAUUAAAGCCAUCUCUGUAAGAUUCAAAUUCGGAUAAAAUAUGAGGCAUCCAUAUCCAUUAGUAUAUAUCCCUAGUGGGGAUCCAAAUGGGGCGGAUCCGGAGACAAGUGGGGUUCCCCACCUCAUUUGUCGGGUUUAGGCAAAUUCGAAGCAGAUUAAUUUUACUUCUAAUUCUAAUCCCUACUUACCGCUUUAUUAGAUAGAGCGGGACUGCGGGAGCGAAUUUUUAGCGAAACAAGACGGAUCACGUAAAAAAAGAAUUUACCGCCUCCCGUUACAUUUACUUAACUUUUUUAUGUUUGUUAUUCCCACAUACUAAUCUAUUCGAGCAUGAAUCGGGACGAGAGCCCCUUACCCCUACUCUCCUAUCAAGGGGCAUCAAUGCCAACGCAAUUAGAAAAUUAUCCCUUAUUUAUUUAUUUAUUUAGUUAUCUUAUUUAUUUAUUAAAAAAAUUUGAAAAAAGAGGGUUCGGGGAGGUGGGGGAGUUGACCCAAGAGCCAUUAAAUUCGGCGGGAAGAGAGGGAGGAGGAAGGGAGGUGGAGCACCAUUUCCCCCCCCCCCCCUCUCUCUCUCUCUCUCUCUUCUUCUCUCUCUUACUUCUUCUCUCUCUAGGUGAUUCGAUCUUCUAGGGAAAUUAGGGUUUCUUUUUUUUUUUUUUUCUUCUUAUUUGUUGGCUUUUUUUCUUUUUCUUUCUUUUUUUUUUUUACAAAAAGAGUUUUUUUUUUUUUUGAAUUUUGGGGUUUUUUUUUUUUAUUUUUUUUGUUGGGUGAAAAGAGAUGUCGGCGGCGACUUUGUGUGCUGGCGAAGGGCCGGCACCGACAACGCUACGACGACCAUUAUCGUCUCGUUGCCGGGUAAAUCUUUUUUUUUUUUUUUUUUUUUUUUGCCAUAUUAUUGUUUUUUUUUUUCUUUCUUGUAGAGUGAAGUAUUAAGCCAAAAAAAAAGAGAAGAGGGAUAAUGAGAGCAUGUUAUGGCAAAAUAAUCAUUUUUUUUCAAGUAGCAUUUGUUUCUUGUUAUUUUUUUGUAAAACUACUAUUAGUUGAGAAUAGCACAAAAAAAAAGAAAAAAAAAAAAAAAAAAAGUUCAGAGAGAGAGAGAAGUAACUAUAUUGAAUUUUUUUAGAUUUUAUUGUUGUUUUUUGGCAUGCCGUUUGAAAUAGUGUUUCUGAGUAGAAGUGUGGAGUGGGGUUCGGCUGCAGUUUAUAGAUCCCGAAAGUAGAAGCUCUAAUUUAAAAUUUUUGAAGCUGUUGACGAAGAGUCUAAUUUGAAGUGGAAGAUUUUGUUUGAAGCUUUGGUUUUUAUCGCUACGACAAAUUAUUAAUGAUUCCUUGAUCAACUAAAAACCUUUUCAAUCUACAUUGACAAAAUCCCAAAAAGUAGAUUGUACACCUUUUUUGUGUGAUUAACUUCUCCAUCAAUGUUUUAUUGUCUCCUUUUGCCCCAGCAGAUGCAUUCCUUACAGGCUAAAGGAAACAGGAGAGAAUCAUCAUCAUAGUCAUGAUUUGUUAGAUAGGCUACAAGUGCUUAUGAUUUCUACCCCAAAUAGGACUGACCUUGUUUUCCCAAAGGUGAGCAUAAUUUUUUUUUUUUUUUUUAAAUUCCUUAAAAGUAUCUCUAAUUAAAGUUUGGAAUCUGGAAAAAGUUUAUGUAAUUGGUUUAAAUUUCAUAAAAAUGGUUGUUAGGGUGGAUGGGAGGAUGAUGAGACUGUAGCCGAAGCCGCAUGCCGCGAGGCCCUGGAGGAAGCUGGAGUGAAGGGUAUCAUCAGUGUAAGAAGCUUAAUCUUUAAUCCUUAUUUCAUAUUUGAGUUGCAUUUAUCCAUAAAUUUACGAAUCUAACUUCGAUUUGGACUCGAAAUAUCAAGUUAGAGAUAAACUUUUGAUGUUUGGUGAAUUCGUUUCGUAGUUAAGUUUGUUAUAUUUUCUCCGAAGACAUUUCGUCGCAUCGCUAGAUUAGGUACUGGAAUUUUGUUGUCGGCUUUGGGUAGAGCAGUUCGAAGAAGCAUUACCACCUUUUUCACCUAAUCGACCAUACCAACUUCUCUCUAUCGCAGCUUUGACGACCUAGAAACUCGUUUCAGCUUUCCGUCACAACGAAAUCUCCAGAGAUUUUCAUUUAUUGCUAUUUUAGCUACUGAUUCUCGAGAAGAGAAGCUACUCCCAAAAGUUUGAUCCCUAAGAGAAGGAAUAGAUCUCGAAAAAGUUAGAUUGAUCAUAACCUGAUGAUUGAUCAUCAUGAAUUAUUUCUAUUCAAUAUCAAUUCACAGAAGCUUUGAUGAAACAGGAAAUUGAUAAUGUUAUUUUUUUAACCUUGCUGAUGUUGUGGUGCCCACUGAGGUGUUAGUUUUUGUACAUAUCAUGUGCUUGUGAUUUUUGCAGUAGAUUCCAAACACUUAAUGGUCCACUUGUCAUAGUUUAUUCGCCAUUAAAUAAAUAGCCAUGUCCUUAAAAUAUACUUUUGGUUAAUAACUUCCAGUCAAAGCAGCUCAUUAUUAAAAUGGAAUGGGAUGUAUUGUUUCCUGUUUGGUUUAUCUCCUCUGCAGUCUCUUGUUUGUUGUCGCUUCAGCAAAAUCAAUCUCUUGGACUUUUGUUUCUGUCGAAAGAUUUCACAUGACUUUUCACAUUUUCUGUCUUUGUUGAGAAUCUGCAAUCUACUCUGGUACCAUUUGAUGUAAAUUCGAUACUCAUUCUGGUACCGGUUGUUGGGAUUCCGUAAUGAAAGCGUCUUUCACAUUUUUUUUUUCUUUGUUGAGAAUCUGCAAUCCGCUCUGGUACCAUUUGAUAUAAAUUCAAUACUCAUUCUGGUACCGAUUGUUGGGAUUCCGUAAUGAAAGCGUCUAAUUGGAAUUUUACUAUAAACCCGUUCCCUCAACCAAAAUCGGCACAUCCAUAAAAGAGGGGAAAAAACAAACAGAGAAAUAUAGGUGACGUAAGACUCACUAACCAGAGAAGAUUACACUCGACUCCUCUUCUGCAACAAAGUGGAUUCAAUCUGAGCCCUAUUUCUAAAUCUCCCACCCUCUCUUUCAUCUUCUAAUCUAAAAGACCUCUCUCUUUUUGUGCUCCGCACACAAGGUAUAUCAAUGAAUCACAGCCACGAAAGGCAGUCUUACGUUUUGUUUACUAGUUUUCCUUCUUGUUGGCGUUUUUUUCUUGCUCCUUUCUUAGUGUUUGUGCGACCCAACUUUUGAAUAACAUAUCUAAUACUCCACAAUGCAAAAGCUUCUAACGUUUUCUAUCAGAUCGAUCUUUUUGGUACCAUUUCAUCAAAGCCGUUCCUAAUUCCCCUUAAUUCCAUGGGGCUCUUCCACUACCUCUCCUAUAGCAUGCGCAGCAAUAUGGUUCAUCUAACACUUUUUCUGAUUCGUUUCCUAUGAGGAAUUUUUGGGAGUUUGUUAUCUAAAGAGAAGUUAAAAUGAGUUUUUGGGCACAAAGCUUCUACGGCAACGAGAAGUUGUAGAGAGAAUCUUAAUGGAAAAGCUAUUAGCGAAUCUUUGAACAGCCGUAAAUUAGCGUGUACUCGCGCUAAAUUGAUAAUUUGAUUUUGCAAUCACCAAUGAAGGGGAUUGUAAUUUAUCUUAAAACUUGUUAUUUCUUUAGGAAGCUCCACUGGGAGACUGGAUAUUCAGAAGCAAGAGCAGCGAGAACAGCAGCAGCCCACAAGGAGCUUGCAAAGGCUACAUUUUCGCGUUAGAAGUUACCGAAGAGCUCGAGUUUUGGCCUGAGCAGGCUAACCACGGGCGGCGAUGGGUCGGUAUUCAAUCACAGUUCUACCUACAUAAGAUCAAAUAUACAUCAGUAACUCGAGAACUCUUUUUGAAUCUUUUCCAUGAAUAGGUAUCGAUGAGAGAUGCGUACGAGCUCUCACGUUACGAGUGGAUGCGAGAAGCUCUCGACGCGUUCCAGAAGCAGCUCUUGGGGGGUAAGAUUUUGGCUCAAUCAGCCAACAUGUCCGAGCCGUCGAGCUUGUGCAUGAUGCUGCCUGCUGCAGCCGAGCGAGCAAUCGCGUUGUGCUGAAAGUGUGCGCGCAGCUUCUUGGAAAAGCGCUUCGUCUGCCGGUGCUUUUUCUCGAAACCAGAUUUUAUAAUUUCCUCUUUUCUGCUUUCUCCGCGUCGAAGAUCAUUCUGUGGAGUUUCAGUUUUAGUGCUGAAAAAUGUUAAUUGUACCACUCCCUGUUUCUAUGGUAAACUUUGUUGUAGCACAAAUUGUGGAAUGAGCUUCUGGACUCAAAAGCAUAUGAUUCAAUUCCCAGGUUCUCAAAAAUAAGUAAAUGAAUGAAUAAAUAAAUAAAUAAAUAAGUAGUAAAGGGAAAAAAAGAAUUUGCUGUAGAGUUAUUAAGAGAAUAUUAAAGUAAAAAACAGGCAUAACUUAUUUGAACUCUAAAAAAUUUGAAUUUCACUACCCAAUAUUUAAAUAUUUUUGAUUUUAGUCCGUUAACAAUAUUGGUUAAAAACUUAAGCUAAUUAUUUAUUUUAAUAAAUCUAUAAUUAUAAUAAUUGAAUGAAGUGCACUAACUGAACUAAUAAAGGUAAACGAUGCAUUCAAAUUUUAAAAUUAAAGCAAUAUUUACUGACUCAAAUAAAAAAAUUGUAGUAUUGGGUAGUGAUUAUAAUUUUCAAAUGUUGGUUAGCUGACUCAGAAUUGUCUACAGUUCAAGUAAGUUUUGUACAUUUUUAUUAAAUAUUAAUCAUAAAUAUAUUUGAGUUACUUUACGAACACUUCUGUAGAAACUGUAACGAACACAUCCGCCUUACGAGUAGUGAGAGAACGACAGGUAACUAGAGCAUGUCUCUUGGCAUGAACAUUUUGUUCGACCACAUUUCUUUUUUAAUGAAUGGUAAUGUUGUAAUGGAUGGGCGAGGAACAUGAUCGAAAGUUUACAACAAUGUAUCAAAUCAUUAGCGCCAACUAUUAAUCCAAAAGUUUGAGCUAUUAGAAACACGCAACUAAUUCACUUAACACGUACGGAUAUAGCACUCAGGGGUCUUGAUUGUUGCUCAGCCCAAUCAGACCUCUCGUCAUUUUGAACGUAACUCGGCUCAACCUAGCCUUCCGUUACAGGACAAGGACAAGAUGCUAGUCCGUCUAUGCCAACUCCAUAGAUGAGAAUUUGAAACGUAUUUGUCCAUUUGUAGUCAUGUUGUUGAAAGGCCAGAGACCGAAAACGCCCGGCACAGUUAGAAUUGGCCCAAUGCCUAGCCCAAAACAUAGAAAUAGGCCCAGAAGCCCAGGCAAAGCCUAUUAUGGAAUGAAUCUAUAAACUCUUAUGAAUCCCCGUUUUCUUUUGUCCACGUGGCGUCAUUAGCUUAAUUUUAUUUUUGUGGGCCCUACCUGUCAUCUUAACCUUUUUUACUUAAUUAUUUAUUAUGGGGCCCACCUGAGUUUUUUUUUUUAUUUCCUUAUCUUUUUUCUUUAAUUUAUUCAACCAUUCGCCCCCCUCUACUCGCCCCUCUACAUGUCGAGGCCGCACUACCCUCUAGACGUCGCUCUGCCUCCCGAUGCCGCACUGCCCUCUAGACGCCGCUCUGCCUCCCGAUGCCGCACUACCCUCUAAACGUCGCUCCGCCUCCCGAUGCCGCAUUCCCCUCUAGACGCCGCUCCGCCUCCUGAUGUGCCCUACUGGACAGAAAUUUUGGCCGAGUUCGUCGUCGUAGACCGUCCGCCUCUCCACAGCUCCUCCCCUUCCAUUUUUUUUUUUUAUUCCCCAGCCGCCCCUAUGCGUCCUCAUUCUUCUUAGGCUCCGCAUCUCCACCUCUUCUCCUCCUCUUAACCCUCUCUCCCACUCCCUUUCCCUCUUCCUCUACAUCAUCCAACAUAUUUUUAAUGCCAUUUUUGUGGGAAAAAAGUAUACUCUUUUUUUUUUUUUUGCUGUAAAUUGUUCUUUUUUAGUUUAUUCGGGUUUUGGUAGGUGCAAAUAGGGUCUUGCGGCGGAGAGGGACGAGGCGUCGAGGGGAGUUUCUUCUGGUGGUGCUGGUGUUGAUUCUAUUGGAGGGAUGUUGGCAGGAUAUGGCAUGGUUCAUCUUCCUACCAAUUCUGUAGAUUUCAGGUGAAAUGCGCAUAUCGAGCCUUUUCCAUGUAAUAGUGCCAUUUUUGCAUGUUAUGUAUUACAGUAGUGUAGGCAAUUCUACUUUUUUUUUUUUUUUUUUGAGCUGUGAACUACAACAUUAAUUUAGCCCCUUAAUGCAUCUUUUUACUGUUGUCAUAUCGAGAUAUUUGGGUAAUAUAUUGAAUUAUGAAACCAGUGCAGUGCAAGGUAGUAAAGGCUCCUCCAAGAGCUUCCCGAAGCAUGAGACUAGACAUGUUUCAGAGCAUACGGUUUUGGAAUGAUAGUUUGUCACGCCUUUCGUGGUUUUCUCAAAAUCCUUCAAGUAACUGGGCCUUUUGUUAUAUUACUUGCUGACAGUAGCCUUGAGAAAGAAUGAACGAGAGCAACAUGUCCUCGAUUUCCUUACCUCCACCCUUCGCCUGAUAAGUUCGCCGCCCCCACGACGUCCGCCGAACUCGAAAUCAACAAUAGCACCACCCUCCGCUGAGCCGAGCCACUAUCGUAGCGAAUCCCCUCGCUUGUGGCAGCGACGUUGAGGGACAACUCCUUCGAUCUCUACCUCUCUUUGUUUUGCUCUAUAAUUAUGAUGUAUUUUCGGUGAUUUCGAGAUGAUUUAGGUGCAAGAUUGUAGGCAGCUGAGGAUUUGGCAUUGAAGAAUAUGUUGAAGGAGUUCUUGAUUCGGAGGUCGGCAUUCAGAAACUUGCCCUUGAAAGUAUGAGGUAAUUUUCUAAGUUUUGAUUUUAAUAAGCAAUAGUUCACUGUGUCUAAUUCCAUCUGUUUCUGAUCGUACAGUCCCAAAGCAAGAUUUGCUUCAAACUCCAAAUCAAAUUAUCACCUUAAUUUUUACUGCCAACCACCAUUAAAAAAGACAAAAAAUACAUAUAAAACAAAACAAAGGGAAAAAAAGUGAAAUACAUAUAAAAUCCACACUGAAACAAUGAUUUGCAGGGAAUUACAAAAGAGGUGCUGCUGUGUACUAGAUCAAAAUAAACAAAAUAAACGAAAUUGGAGCUAACUUGGAAAUUAAAAUAUGCGGCCUAGAGUGUAAUAUUGAUUGACUGGAAAAAUAAACAAUGGUUGAGCAAAACUAAACUAAUAACUAAACUUAUAGCUAACUCUGAAUUUAAAGUAUGCAGCCUAUAGUAUACUUUGAAUUGAAAACUACACUUUUAAUAGUUGAGCAAAACUAAACAAUGGAGAAAAUAAGAUACUAUAAAAAUAGACUAUAACAUCGAAACCAUGCUAUAUCAAAUAACUGAAAAGUUACAGAUUACAGCGAAAUAAAGUAAGGACCAAAGUGUCGGCCAGCUCAUAGUUUGAGACAAAUGUGCAAUUUACCCUAAAACUAAUAAUAACAAUUGACUCAACUACCCCCUCUUCAUUAUCUGUGCACAUGUAUAAUCUGUUCUAAUUAGGUACUAUGAAAUAUCACAUGUCGACCAUUAAUACCAAUACUAAUCUAUACUAUCUUAUUGACUUAGACAUAGGAAACAUUGACAAUAAGUACUACCUCCUCUAGCUAGCAACUCUCUCAGAUGAUGUUCUGUAAGGUUUUUGGCCUUAGGAUGCAGCUAAUUUUUUUUUACUUUUACCUUCCAAGAAGAAAGAUAGCAUGUUACUCGCUUUAUUCAUAAACAAAAUUUACUAAGCUAUAAAAGUAAGACAGAGAACGUAUACAGACCAACAAUUCGACUUUAGCAUGCUCAAAUUGCCAAUACCUUUUUGAGAGGAAACACAAAUCAUGUUAGUCUAGCAAUAGGAAUGAUAUUCCAAGUACUGAUAGCAAAAUUAGAAAAUUACAAAAUAAAACCAGGUUAGAAUACCUUCGAAAUAUCUGAGUGGUAAUUAAGAAAAAAAGAUAUUCCUUCAUCAUUAAUGGUCAAUAAACAUGUUUUCUCCUGCUGCAACAACUAUCAGUCAACUUAGCUGAUAAAGAGGCUUGAUUUCAAAACAACAUAGAACCUUCAAACUGCAAGUUUGCACUUUCCGAUAGGACCUUGAUGUGGCUAGAGUUGGACCGGCUUUGCUGAUAGCAAAGUAGCAUUGUGGAAAGUGCUUAUGUAUAUCUUUCUUGGCCUCAAAGAUGGUCAAGCAUCCAAAGCAUGCAAUGAAAUAAGUAACAUUAUCCAACAUCCACAUAUAUUAGAGAGGGGUUAGUUAAUAAUUUACUCGAAGUUUGUUCAAUAUCGCACAGUUUUAAUUCUGACAAUUUAAUCAUUGAAGUUUGCAUCGGAAAACUACUGUAUCCCUCUAUCUAGAGACCGUCUAAAUCCACAUAGUUUCAGUUUUGACAAUUUAAUCAUUGAAGUUUAUAUUGCAAAACCUAAGAAUCAUGAUGAUAGUGCAUCUCUUAAAGAAGAUAGACUACCAAGGACUAAAUUGCUAUGACAAACAAACUUUAAGUAACUAAAAUGGAACUCUCAGGAUACAGCUGAAAUUGGAUCUAAAUUCUAACUAUCUUUCAAAGUAACUGAAUAAAGAUAAGAGUUCAUUUACAGAAUCUUUCUAUGUGAGAGAUCAAAAAGACAGUAAACUGACUACAAAAGAAACAUAAUAAGCAGACUUUUCACUGAUGAAAGUGAUUCUUCCGGUAACAAUUAACACCAUUUUUUGGAAUUGCAUAAAUUUUGUUCGGUAUCCACAUUUCGUUUAUAGAAGUUAACAAUCUCAACCUAUUGGAUAUAUUCAACAUAACAAGUGCAUUUUUUUUUCUAAUUGAUGGCAAUUGGAUAUAUGCAGAUUCUAAAGCUGGAACUGUUCAGAUAGAUUUGCAGUAUAUAAUGGAUUUUUUUUCUAUGUAGAUUUUACCAGAAGAUCAAUUGACUUCAUGGAACAUAUAUGGGCAUACCGGUUCAGUUUUCAUUCCUUUAAUUUGUCUAAAUCAAAAUUGACAUGGAUGAAAUUGGUGUUGCUAAUGAUCUUGAUCCUAAAUAUAUUUCUUAUCACAUUAUUGCAUCAAAUUAAAGGAAUUGAUUUGAAUUUCAAUUUUGUUGCAAAAUCGCCAUGUCCGCCAACAAAAUAUUUCUCGGUAAUUCUCUUCAGUGUUUUCAACACCUUUUGAUACCGAACCUUCGAUGUUUCAGUAGAACCUACAUCGAAUUGAUCAAGGUAUGCUGAACUUAGAAAGAAAAGGAGAUUUGGAAAGAAUUGUUUAAUCAGAAAACUGACAUUUAGCUAGAAUUGUGUUGUUAGUCGACCCUUCUUCCCGUCGCGCCGGUCCCGUUAGCGACGCUUCGCUUCGUCUUAGUGAUCCCCUCCGGUCACGAAAAUGGAUCGGAUUCAUUCUCCACGCUCCCUUCUUGCUGCCUAUAUAAUAUGCCUCUGUAAAAAAAUUAUUUGCAGCAAAAAAAAAACUAUUUCUCUGCUGGUUCAGUAUCAACUAGGAUGGCAAUUACAAAAUAAUUACAACCGAUGAUUCUCCCCCAGCAAGGGAUACAUACGCGGCACCUUUUCUUGAAGACUGCUGAAAUGAGAAAAAUAAAUUUCUUGACUAUUGAUAAUAUUCAUUACAUGUCUCAGCCUAUAGUAAAAAUAGAAUUUUAUUAGCUGUUGUUCUUUUUUUUUUUUCUCAAAUUUCUACUGCUACUGCUUAUGCUAUUUUCUUCGUUUGUUUAUUGAAUAUUGUUUUCGAUUGUUCUAUUUUUCUUUCGCUUUGUUUGCUCUCUAUAUUAUUUUUCUCAAUUGUUGUGAUAGUGUUUUUUUACUAUUCCUAUUUAAAAUUAUUUGACUAUAAGUUCUGCAAUUUAUAUAUUUUAAUUAAUUUUGUAACUUGCUGCUUCACUUGAUUUUGUACUACUAUAGUCGUAUAUUUUUGGGACAGCCUGUUAGUAAUAUUUUAAAACCAACUUUUCCUAUUAAUCCUAUUUCAUUCUUUCCUUCAUUCCUUACUGACUAUUGCAUUUUCUUUUAACCAACUCUGCAAGCCUUUCUUCGACUUCUACAAAUCUAAAAUUCAUUGUAUUUAUGGUCGUUGCUACUACUGUUGCAUUAACUACUUACACUUUUAUUUAUUUGUUACUUAAAAUUUUUUAAUUCUUCUUAUAUAUUUACUAUUUCGUCUUACUUCUGCUUUUUCUACAGAAUCUCAAAUAUUUUUUCAAUUUAACUAUGCAUCAAAUUUUAUUCUCUUAGUUCUAUUUUUUUUACUCUUAUUUGUUCUCUAUGUUGGAAGUAUGAUAUAUUAUUUAUAUUGUAAGGAAGAUAAUCAAAUAUUAUAAUUUAAAGAGAAGAAAGAAUAAAUGUUUGUACAAAAACUAAAGUUAAAUAUCAAAUAUUAUAUAUCCGCUGCAUCGCGCGGGUUACUACACUAGUAUUAUUAUUACACUCAACCAUAAAAUUUGUUGGCAGAUGCAUACCAAAAUUAUCGGGCGAUGUGAGAUUUUAGAGGUGGCUCCUACAGGUUAGGACUUAGCUCUCACAAUAUUCGGCUCUGAUACCAAUUGUAACGAUUCGACCCGCUAGCAAUAACAACUCGUUGGGCCAAAAUCACCAACCUAAAAUGCUUUAGCCUAGUUAUUAUUACUAGCGUAUAGAUCUCAUAUAUUCUAAUCAGAAUUAGUUUCCCACAAAAUGUGGGACUAUUAGAGCAUUACAAAUAUAAAAUAAAACAUAACCGCCCCAAAUUUGUCCCGCUCUGACAAAAAAUAGAGCGGGAGGUGGGGGAACCCUCCCGUCCCGGGGUCCAUUCUUUUUGCAUUCCUAUGUUUGGUAUUGAGGCCUAUUUAAUGCUAUUGAGCCAAAAAGAGUUGGGCUAAAGCAUAUAGAAAUAUAAUUCUCCAUUUUCGGUAUAGCGGCAAACAUUAUCAAAUUAUAACAUAACCAAAUCAUUGUAAUAUACUAAAUACUUUUUAACCGAGACAGACCGAAUAUAUUUACUCAUCGCAUUCUCCUCAUACAUAAUGUAUAUAUUUUUUCUACAAUCCCAAGCAAAGCUUUAGAAUACUUUGGAAUUAGGGCAUAUGACAAAACCUUGCUGUACUUGGAUUGACGUAAUUGUGGUUUGGUUGAAAAUAGAUUUGGUGAGAGCGAAAAUACUAGUCUUGUAUUUUCACAAAAGAUAACUUUGAGCCAUUUCUGAGAGAAUUUGAUUUUAAGAAUCUAAGUAUCUGAUCCAAUAGUCGGCAUACACAAGAUUAAACAGUUGACGGACCUAUGGAAGAAAAAUUAGGCCGGAGAAGCGACCCAUCGGUUAACGUUAGAGGGUGACCCAACUGUAAACUUUUUUUUUUUUUUUUUUUUUUUUUUUCGCCAUCCUUUGAGGCCUGUGAUGCCUCACCCAUGUAGCUUAAUUCACUUUCUAACUGAAUGAAGCGGGUAGCGUGCUACAUUUCUCUCAAAAAAAAAGAAUUUAAGUAUCUGUCUACAUACUGAAUCUUCUCGGUAUCUUCAUGAUGGAUAGUAAGACUAAUAUUUCGACACUUAAUGAAGUUGAGAGAGAGAGAGAGAGAGAGAUCCACAAAGGGAUUUGUUAUCGAAUAUACAUGUAUUGACAAAUUUAUAUGGCAUUUUGGAUUGCAUAUAUGAAGCAAUCAAAAUUCUUCACAUCAUAUAUAUUAACAUAUUAAGGAUCCCCAAAAGCAGCAUUUUAAAUAAUGCAUGUUAACCAAAAGACCGAUAGAUAUGCAUGAUAGGAUACAGUCUAAAGAAUUAACACCCUCAUUCACGUGCAUGAUAGAGAUUAGGUAAAUUAUGUUAUGUGCUUUAAUAUGAGUAACAAAAUGGACAAUUAAAUAAUUGACAAGAAUAUAUGCCAGAAGAUAAGGGGUGUCGGAACUAAAACCUGGAACAUUUCAGAAUGAUGGGUGCUUAAGACUUUUUCUGAUAUCAUAUUAGUCGAAAGAUCAAUCUAAUAGAAAAUAGCUAAAAAUUAGUCUCAACAUGCAUGUACACCUCAAAUGUAUGGUCGAAAUUCUAAUUGUUUUAUAUUGUAUCAAAGCAGGAGGUCAUAAGUUCGAAAUAAACAUGUUCCCUUUCCCAUUUGAUUUUCUUUCCAUAAUUAGUUCAACCACAUCUUACGCUUAUCAAAAAUCUCAAGCCUAGACAUGCGGGAAGAAUUUAUAGAACAUAAAAUAGUAAAGCACAGUUCUCUACCAACUUGAAUUUCAGAUAUAAUCGCUCAUUGCACAUAUGAUAAAACGUGUAAGUACAUAACAAUACUCUAGCCACAGAUGUUACCGCACUAAUGGAAACAACUAAACGUGCCAACACAUACUAAAAAGGAAGCACACAAAUUAGUACUAUAUAUCUCUCAAUUGAUGUGCACCAAAAACAAAAGUUGUUUAAACUACAUAUCAGAGAACAAUAUUUUUAAUAUUUAUAUUCAACAAUGCUUAAUUAAUAUACAGAGAGAGAAAAAGAAGGCCUAAAUGCUAAGGUAUAUAAGAUAUAAGAUAGCAGUUAUUCUCUAAAAAUUUAAGCUAUUUAAGACUCCUCUCACAUCUGAACUCGAGAUUUUUUGAUAUGCCCAUAAUAUGGACUUAAAUUAAAUGGGAGUUAACUCAAUUAUAUUAGGGGUCCGACGGGACUCGAAUUUGAGACCUUCGACUCUGGUACCAUGUUAAAUUAAUUAUAUGAAAUAAUCGCUUUCUCUAAAAGUUUAAGCUUGUAAAAGAAUAAGAGAAAUGAUUCGGUACCUUUUAAAAAAUAAAAUAAAAAAAGAUCUUAACCGUUGAUUAAUUGAGGGUAAAAAUGUAAUUUUAAUACUUAGUAGGUAAAAGAAUUAUUUUAUUCAAGGUUAGUUUGGUAAUUAAAUAACACAUAUUUAAAGAAACUUUUAAUUGAGGUCCUUAAUUUAUGCAUUAAUUAGCACUAAUUAGGAAAUUAAUUGAUUAACCAAAUUUAUGCAAUUAUUAGGCAUUAAUUUAGGAAUCUACUUUAAAUGUUUUAGUGUUUCUCAAAUUAUGCAUUAAUUUAAAUUAUAGGAUUUAGAAAUAGUUUUAUUUCUAAAUACGAUGAAUUUAAAUUUUAAAAAUUAAAUACUUAAAAUUUAAAAGUGAAAUUUAAAUUAGAGGAAUUUCAUAUUACUAUUUAAAAACUAAAUUUCUACCAAGAUUUAAAAUACAAUUUAUUCGCACCAGUUUAAAAAGUAAUGUAUAAAAAACUUGGAGAGUAAGAUUUUUACAACUAGAUUUCUCUAGAGGAAUUUCAUAUUAUUAUUUAAAUUUAAAUUCAAUGAUUUAAAAACUAAAUUGAACCGAUUGAUUUGACUGAUCAGAUUUUGACCUAUUCUAUCAAGAAUCUGACUUUAACCUAUUGAACCGAAUAACAUCAAGAACAAUUUGAAACCAGUAAAGAUAAUAAAUAUUUUAAACAGAAUGAUAAUUUAACUGUUUGAGCUAAUAAAUAUUUUAAACAUAAUUUUAAAUAUAUAAAUUAAAAAUAGGAUUAUUGAUGAGAAAACAAAUAGUUAGGAAUUUGAAAUCGAAUCUGAUUAACAAUCACAAAACUUAUUUCCGAACUCAACGGAUUUCAAAAAUCCAUAUCCAAAUUCAAAACUGGCCAAUUUUUCGAAACCCAAAACCAAACCUAAACCAGAAGACCAUAAUUCAAACAAUUAUUUCUGUUUACCAUAUUUCAAAGUAUUUAUAUGAAACUUAAAUUUUUAAAAUAUAAACUUGAAUAUAAUAUUAAAUUUUAAAUUUAAAGUGAACUUUAAAUUAGAGGAUUUUCAUAUUACUAUUUAAAGUUUAAAUUCAAUGAUCAUAUUGUCAAAUCAUUUGAAAUUUUUCUUAUAUGAAAUACCAAAUUAUAAAAGGAAAGAUAGAGAGAGAGAAAAAGGAAAUAAAGAGGAAAUAAAAAUUUUGAAAAUAUAGUAGAUGUAAAAUGACUAAAUUGUCCAUGUAUUAAAAGACAAAAAUAUCUUUUUUUAAGGUACCUGGUAACCGGUACCUCUCCCAAAAUAACCUACUAUUGCAGGUCACAAUUUUAAAAAAACUAAAUCUGAGUCGUUGAACACGCGUGAAUGAACGGUAACAAAAAAAAAAAAGUAUAGAAGCAUUACUCAAAGAAUAAUAUUUUUAUAUUUUUAUAUUUAAGAAUAAAGACCAACCAAGGAGCCCUGAUUCCGGAAGAGACACUGUUCUUUGCACACAAAGGACAACAAAAGCUCAAAUUAGUCUCCCUCGAAGCUCUACAAGCGUGGAAAAAUUAGUAGCAAACUUAAUUAUAAUAAACUAAUAAAUGGAUUAUAUGGCUCCUUGAGACCACACCAUUGAUCACUAGUAGUAAUCUAAAGUAGUACGUAGUAUAGGGAUUUACUCUCAAAUCUCUUUAAUUAUUUUGUCCCUUUUAUAGAGCUUAGUCUCCUCAAAUAUAAGUGGCCUCCAUAUGAAGUGAUGAGUCACCAAUUACGACCUUUGUUACUUUGCAAUUAACUCAAUCAGUGCCCGUACGUGCACCUUCAAAUAUUUAAAUUAUUGCUACGCUUACACGAAAAGAUACUCUUAACUGAUAAGUCGGCAAAUUUAUGUGUCAAUCGAUUAGUAGCUCAAUAUAGAAUAGUUGAUUUAGUUUUUAAGACUAUUAGCUAACAUACAAGAUUGCUAACUCAUUAAAAACUUUAAAUUAAAGUUGUCCAUUCAUAAUAAUCGAGCAACUUUUUAGAUUUAGUUUUCGCGAACUAAUCAGCAGCAUUUGAGGGGACCUUCUAAGAUGCUUCAAGCCAGUAUUUAGACUUUUAUCUAACAUAUAUAUUUCUAUUGACUCGAGCAUUUGAGGGAAUCUUUUAGGGUACUCAAGAAGUAUCACCAUUGUGAUCUAAUAUUUUUUGUAACCUUUGGUCAGCUUGUAAUAUGUAGUGGGAUUUGCACUUUUUGACUCUUCUAACAACAAGCACAUCUUUUGAUAGCAUGCAUGUUCCAUUUGAAGAUUAGGAAAUGGGACUUCAUUUGGACUCUUGUUUGCUGAGAUUCAUUUUGUUAGCCAUGUUCCAACUUGAUGCUUUUCCUUAGCUAUGCAUGUUUAGCCCAUGCAAUAGAGUAAUGCAAUGCUUAUCGAUAAAUUUACGGUACUUUACAAACUUACAUAAUAUGAGACUGUAUUUACUUGGGAAGCCGUAGAAUCGUGAAGAGGUAAUUAAACAUAAUUUUACGACUCCAAGUUUGAAAUCCGACCCUUAAAUUGUGUAGCUUGUAAACUGUUGUCAGAUUUAUUAGUAAACAUGGCAUCAGUACUCCCAUGCAAUCAAUACUCCCAUGCAAUACACAUGUUGAGUAUUGAAUAUAAAAUAUAUAAACACCGUUCUCUGACAGUUUAAACUAUUAGAGAUAAACGAUUGUUUUAUAUAAUUUAACAUGACACUAGAGCAAAUAUUAGAGAUAAAUGGUUAUUUCAUAUAAUUUAACUCUGAGGAGUACCUCAAAAUACAAUAUUGGAUGCUUCUUGGGCAUUAAAUUGGUAUCUUUGAGCUCUACUUGAUAGAGAAACUAGUUUAAUUAAUUUCUCCUUGCAUUUUAGAAAAGCAUUGCUAAGAGCAUGUUUAAUCCGAACAUUAGAGCUUCUUUAUAAAUGUGUUAAUUGUUCGAGCAUUGCUAUUCGAAGAAACACUAACAUUUUUUUCCCAUUAGAAUCAAAAGUUUUUAAUUGGAUAGCAUUUUCUUUGGGCUCUUUUGCUUUUUCUCUAUAUUACCUAUCUUCUUUUUUUUCUCAUGCAAAAAAUGUUGUUCCAUAAGCUAGUCCAAAGAGAUACUAAAGCUUGUAGAAUUAAUAUCUGCUAAACUAUAUAUUUCGAUAUCAUUUUAUUAGGAGAUGAAUAAUCCAAUAUCUAGUCAUAGGAAAAUAAUUUUAGACAUCAAUUGUAAGGUUUUGUGGUAUUGUAUUAAUUAAUACUAUUAAAAAAAAAGGGCAAUUGCUUAUAUACUCUUGAAAAGUUUCCGACUUUUCUUAUUUGCCCUUAAGUCAGGGGUACAAAAAGUAUUUUGAAUUUUGGUAUUUUCAAAUAUACCCUUCUACCAUUCCAACAUUUCUUAUUUGCCCUUAAGUUAAGGUCAAAAGAGGCAUUUUAAUUUUUUUUUUAACUCUAGUAAAUAUUUAACUCACGUUUAAUUCAAGUUAAUUUAAUAGGUGGUAACUACAGGGGUUUUUUUGAAUAACGGAGAAACAUAUAAAAGGUAUAUUAGAAAGAAAAAAAAAAAGUGGUAAAUGAGAUAUUUGUGAAGUUUUGAGGGGUAUAUAAGCAAUUAUCCCUAAAAUACAAAAAACUAAACUAUCUAAUAAUUAGCUAUCCUGAUAAAAAUAGUUAGCAUGCUGAUUGGUAGUAUUACUAUCACAUAUAUUAAAUAAUAUGAAACAACAGUUUAACUUGUAGAGAUAUUAAAAGAUAUGAAACAGUCGUUAUUCUUCAAAAGAUUAAGCUUGUAGAGAACGGUGUUUUUAUAUAUUUAUAUUUAAUACUCCCCUCACGUUUGGGCUGGAGACAUUUUAAUAGACCCAAGAUGUGGACUUAAUUACAUAGGAGAAAAUUAAGUCACGCUAAAAGUCCGGUGAGAUUUGAACUCAAAAUCUUCUGCUCUGAUAUCAUCAUAAAAAAUAUGAAACAAACCAUUAUUCUAUAAAAAUUUAAGCGCAUAAAAAAAAUAGUAUUCUUGUACUUUUAUAUGUAACACAUAUUGCAUUAACUGUCUUCUAACUGUUAUACCUGCAUGGCUGCAUCUGUGCAUUAUUGAAUCAAGCAUUUAAUUAAAUAUGAUCCUCAUUCAACUCAUAAAUGUAACUAAAAUCUCACUGAGAUCUAUUUGAUUCCAUUUGCACAAGAAACAAAUAAAGAAUAGUUUUUCCUUUUUUUAAUUUUAAGAGUAGGAUAUGUCUUGUGAUCUUCUUUGCCAUUAUGUAGGAUGGAGUACUCUCAAUGAUAUAUCCUAGCUAAAAAAUAGACCUAGCAUAACACAUGCCAUGCAAUUUUUAUCUCUACAUUUUAUUUUUGAAAGCAAGCAUAUAUUUAUCUCUAGAUUAGUUAUUUAACAAAUAUAGGGAGUGCACAGAUAUACCUAUGCAACAUAGGGCUUGAGCAAGCAAUAGGACAAGUUGUGUAGGAUACUACAAAUCCAUUUCACUUUAUUAUAUUAAGUGUUACUGUUUAAUUAAUAUCAUGGGUUGCAACUUGCAGUGAUGAGGACCCUCUAUUGUCUUGCAUUUGCAUAUGCUUUUAUUCCAAGUUAGGGUUAAUUUAUCAGGGGCUAUUUAAUUAUAUCUGUAAGUAUACUGUUCUCUCAUGAGAUAUAGUUUUAUAGCUCUAUAAAACUAUAUAUAUAUAUAUAGAGAGAGAGAGAGAGAGAGAGAUAUGCUAGAAUACUAUUAAUAGUGCGAUACUAUCCACUUUGUAAUCAUUGGAUGUCUAUGAUUGAGUAUGUAGUUGGAGUGGUAAUGAUCCAAGGGUGGAAAAGUGGAUAGUAUUAUUAAUAAUAGUAUCCUAGGUGAACUAUAUAGAGAGAGAUCGAGUGAGAAAGUCCAGCUACUAUACUCUUAUAAUUUUAAAAAAUUACAAAAUUUAUUUUUUAGAAGUUUCAAAUGCUCCAU
RNAcentral lists this long non-coding RNA (50614 nucleotides) under Ananas comosus (pineapple). RNAcentral describes it as "long non-coding RNA (ACOM_LNC026347)". Lineage: Eukaryota; Viridiplantae; Streptophyta; Magnoliopsida; Poales; Bromeliaceae. The record is from RNAcentral.